AUUUCCUUUACUAAUUAAUUAUUUAUUUAACAAAUAAAUAACCAAAUAAAAAUCAAAUCAAUUAAACAAAUAUUUAUUCAAUGAUAAACACAUCCAUUAAAUAUUUAUAUAACCCAAUAAAUAUUUAAUAUUAUAAUUAAAAUUCUGGAAUGUUACAAGUUGAGUAAUUAAAUUGAUUCACAUUAGAUUAGUACGAAUUAAGAAGUUUGGAAAUGUGACGAGAAUUACGAAAUGCCUUGUGUAGCAUAAUGUGAAAUGAUGAAAUUCACUAAGCGGGUUAAAAAGGGAAUUAGGAAGAUUAAUCAUGUCUGAUCAUGUGAUUUCAUGUAGUUAAUGAUUACACUCUUAGAUUGGCAAUAUCACUCUUGAGGACAUUAAUUCAUGUCGUGUAAAACGAGUUUGGAGAUGGAGGUCGACAUUGGCUUGAAGAUAAACUAGUCUUGGCACUGUCUGGGUAUGACGCAGCUGCGCCGUCCCAGCAGUACAAACUGGCGCAACUAUGCCAGUGAUCAGUUGGAGUUGGUUACUUGCUUUUGUAGCACUGAAUUGGGACAUUAAUGUUAUAUGUGUGACAUAAAUAAAACCAUAUGAUAGGAGUAUAUUGAAAUGAAAUGAGGUACCUAGUAGCACCAUGGUAUCAUAUGAAGUUGUAAUGGACAAAUGAUUAAUUAUCUGGGUAUUCUAGAAUCUAAGAAAGGUAUUCAAUGUUUUAAAUAAACAUUAAUAUUAAAUAAAGUUAUAAUGUGAUUAUGUGAGUGGUAGAGAUAAUUAUGGGACUACCCGGACAAUAAUGCCUAAUUGCGUUGUUUUAUUACAUGUAUUUAAUGUACAUGGAUUAUAAGAUGUGAGUAUAAAACUUAUCUUUAAAUUCCUAAUAUGGUAACAAUUGUACCUUAAUAUUACAUUAUGGGGAUUAAAAGAACCAAACCAAGCCUUGCAUGCCCAAAAGCUGAGAUAUUUGCUCUUGUCCCAAAUUAAGUGUCACAAAGUACAUGAAUAGUGACUUGAAACUAAAACACGUAUUUUCCAAAAAGGCUAUUGAAUAGGUGAUCAUUUGCUAAGAAGAUGGUUGGUAAGGGUGGUUGAUCAACUCUUGAUUAACCAAUGUAUUGUUCCAUUACACCAUGAAUCCAACCUUAAUGUAAUACCAAUGUCUAGUCCAAGCUUACUCUAUAAAUACAAGCAAAAUUCAGUUUUUGGUGUUGAUAGAAGUUGCUUGAUAGUCUAAUUGGAGGGUUAUAAGUUGCUGAGCUACUAUAGAAGUAUACUCAGAGUGUAGGAAGUUCAAUUCAAGCCCAAGAAGGUAUAAAUUCUAAUUGUGUUCUUGAAUUGGGCCUUGUUUAAUUCUUGAAAUUUCUUGAAUUCAUAUGUCAAUUGAUAUAAAUUAACAUGUUAUAAUGUGUUUAAGAAGUUCCCUUACAUGUAUGAACUCUUUUAUGAUAGUUGGAACAAGUUUAAAAUCAUUAGAAAUCAAGUUAGCUAAGACUCUGUAAAAUAGAGUCUUCUUCUGCUCCUGAACCAGACAUGGCGCAGCUGCGCCCUAAUUGAACAUGGGUGCAGCGUAGCUGCGCUGUCUUCUGAGUUCCGUUGAGCCUUCUGUUUUAAAAAUAUGCUAAGUGUGAUCAGUUAUUAUGGCUUAAGCAAAUAUGCAAGCAUGUAUAACAUGUAUAUAUAAGUAUAAUAACCUAAUGUGAGCAUGUUUUACUAAGAUUAGCAUGAUUUGGUAGAAGAUCUUUAACAAGGACUUUAAGUUUCGAAAACAAACUUUGUUAAAGUUCAUGUUCUGUAAAUUUUGAGCUUAGUGGUCUAUACACAUGACUGAUUUUACACAUAAAUGAGCAUGCUUGGUGUAAAUAGUUCCUUUGUUUAUAAUCAAACUCGUUAGACCUUGUGUGAAAGAAGUUUUUAAGAAAACUUGGUAUAAGAGAACUAAGGUGCAUAAAUACUACUUGCUAUACAUUCUGAUCUUGCGAGCAUUUUAACAUGACUUGACUACAUAUAAAUAGAGCCUUAAAGUUGCCUUGUAUGUGUUUAAUGGCAUUGUUCUAGUUUAAAGUGGUUUUAAAAGCAAACUUGAACAUAUUUUCAAAAUCCAGUUGCAUCACAUGGAUGUGUAGAUUCUAAAGGAUUAAUAUGACAUGUUAUGUCUAUAAAAUCCCUAGAUAUGAUUUAUAUGUGAUAUAUCACAUCAUUCAUGAAAAAUGAUUUCAAAGGCAACAAUGUUUCGAACUUAAGUUGCAUUACAUAUGAGUAUUUAGAUUUUAAAGGCUUGAGAUGCCAUGUUAUGUUUCAUUAUGUCUCUAAACAUAAGUCUUAUAUGUUAAACAUAAUGAAGGUAAACCAAGUAUGAGGUUAAAGCAUGUUUUAAAGUGUUAAACAAUGCUAGCUAUGAGUAAAAGAUAUGAAUAUGAAUGAGCAUACGUAUUACAGAUUAUGUGACCUCUUUUUGUGAUCAUAAGGCUAAUUAGUACACCUAGUGAUUACAUGACCCUGUUUGGCUUUGAUUUCGUGAAAAUCCUAACUAAAGUCCCUAACAUAUAAGGUUGAUCUUGAAGUGGUCAUACAAGUAUGUAAAGACCUCUAGUGUGUACGCAUGAUAAGUAUAAGAGUCUAAGUGUGUUAAAGUUUGGACAGAAAUAGGAAGUGCAAAGCUCAACCUUCGUCUGGUCAGGGGACAACGCAGCUUGUAUAAUUAAUAUAUAUGGUUAGUAUGGUAUGUAAUGUGUUAAGAAGCAUGCUAUGUGAUAAAGAUGAAUGUUAAUCAUGACUUUCGAAUGUUAAGUCCAAAGGAAUGUUUACAUGAGAUAAAGCAAUGAUACGUUGUUUGAAUGAGUGAUGUCUUACAAUCUAAUUUGUGUUACAUAGGUGAUGUUGUAUAAAGUUACAACUAAGUUAGACGUUUGUGUGUACGAUUGAACUUACCUAAAUAACUUUUAAAUGUGUCGAACACAUAGCGAGUCAAGUGGUGAUAAAUAUAUAUAUGAAUGUUGAUGUCAUGUACGAGUGGUUAAGGUAUACCUAUACGUACCUAGCUAUUUCGAGAAUAUGAUGAGAAAGUGGAAUGUAGGUUUUACGAACCUAGUUAGGAAAUAAUGUAACAUUAUUAUUACAUUGAGAAUGCAUGAAAUAUGUUACUGAUGGAUAUGAAUCCAUGAUUAUAUAACUGUGUAGGAAUACACGAAGUGAAGAUAAGCUUCAAGAAGUUAAGUCGUAGUUGAUAAACUAUGAAUCAGGCAAGUCUUUCAGUUUCUAUUUGUUAUAUGAAUUCGAUAACUGUUAGUUGAGCUAUAGUAUGCCAUGAGAAUGUUGAUGUAUAUAUAUAUAUAUAUAUAUAUAUAUAUAUAUAUAUAUAUAUAUAUAUAUAUNNNNNNNNNNNNNNNNNNNNNNNNNNNNNNNNNNNNNNNNNNNNNNNNNNNNNNNNNNNNNNNNNNNNNNNNNNNNNNNNNNNNNNNNNNNNNNNNNNNNNNNNNNNNNNNNNNNNNNNNNNNNNNNNNNNNNNNNNNNNNNNNNNNNNNNNNNNNNNNNNNNNNNNNNNNNNNNNNNNNNNNNNNNNNNNNNNNNNNNNNNNNNNNNNNNNNNNNNNNNNNNNNNNNNNNNNNNNNNNNNNNNNNNNNNNNNNNNNNNNNNNNNNNNNNNNNNNNNNNNNNNNNNNNNNNNNNNNNNNNNNNNNNNNNNNNNNNNNNNNNNNNNNNNNNNNNNNNNNNNNNNNNNNNNNNNNNNNNNNNNNNNNNNNNNNNNNNNNNNNNNNNNNNNNNNNNNNNNNNNNNNNNNNNNNNNNNNNNNNNNNNNNNNNNNNNNNNNNNNNNNNNNNNNNNNNNNNNNNNNNNNNNNNNNNNNNNNNNNNNNNNNNNNNNNNNNNNNNAUAUGAGAUAUGUAUGAAAUGUGAAAGUUGAUCUUUGAUGAUAUGCUUGUGAUAUAAACUUAUAUGCCUGUUAUAUGAGAAGUAACAUGCGUAGUAAAUAUUGAUUGAUUAUGGAUGCAUGAACUAUGUAUUAUUAUAUGCUACGUGCUGCAUGAAAACUGUUAGAAUUGCUGGGUUGUCGAGCUCACCCUUGCAAAUAACCACUUUUGCAGGUUAAGGACUCGCGAUAAAGAUUAUGUGCUACUUAAUUGAUAAAGUUUAAUAACAUCGAAGGAGAUUGAUUUACUUAUUUAAAUAUAUGUUCUUGAACUAUGUCUAGGUUCUAGGAGUGGUAUAUGAUAGUAGUUUACGAUGUGUAAUACAUGUUAAGUUGUACUAUGAUAUACAUAGAGAAAUUUGAAUCGAGAUGUAAAGAUUUAUACAGUAAUUCGAAUAGAGGGAAUCAUAACAUACUUUGAUUCAUGAAUUUGUAAUUGAUUCAAGUUAACAAAUCAAUAAAAGAUUAUUUUUCAAAGGAGAUUGCAAAGUUUAAAUUAUUUCGCAUAUUUUUAUAACAUCGAAUAUGAUGUAAGGCAGGAAUGGUAAAUGACCAAGAUUUAAAAAUUAUAAAAGUUUGGGGUCAUUACAUAGAUCCUGGAAAUAUAAAGAAUUUAUAUUCUAAAUUGUAAUAAGUAAAGUCAUAUUCAUUAAGUUAUGAAUAAAAGAUAUAAAUAGUUUGACAAUAGUAGUAUCGUGGUGGAUCGAAUCCGAGGUUCAAAGGGACCUGGAUUUGGGGGCGUCACUGGUUGGUAUCAAAGCUGUAGGUUAUAAACUUUAGGUAAGUGUAUCUUAGGCUAUAACCUGAUAAAGAGAAAGAUAAAGAUUAAAAUAUAUAUAAGUGAAGAUUCAAAGAAGAAUCUUGAAGUAUCUAAGGGAAUGAGAAUUCAGGAGUUUCCUAACUCCGAUAAUAAAAAUGAUAAAAUGGUGUCUAUAUGAAAAAGAUAAUGAGAAUGAACUCGAGUGGAUUUUUGUUGAUAAUAGGGAAAGAACCCUAAGGUAAACCGAUGAUCACGACGUGAUCGGAAUAAGCUAUGAAGUAAUAAAUAGUCUAUAAUGACUAAGUGUGUAUAGCUUGAUGCUAUAAAAGAAUGUACUGUGAAAUGGUAUGAUAUGAACUCAUGAGGAGUUGUAUGUGAUGAGAUACGAAGAAUUUGUAUCAAGUAAAGUGUAAGAUAGAGUUAAGUGGGAUUUCAAUUGAGGACCCAUGUCAGCAGCUGAGUUGUAUAAUUCCUUGUUAUGGGCAGGGAAUUAUACUUGUGUUAGGUUUGUAAUAUUCAUGAACGCAAUCAAAUUGCACAAAAUAAGCGAAAGCAUGGAAAAUCAGAGUUUUUAAAAAUAUACAAACUAUAUACCCGGAUCAUCCUUUAUGCACAAUUAUUAAUUAAACGAAAAGAUAAAGAACAAGAUUCAUACCAUUGAAGAUUUGAGCUUCCUCAGGUACAAGUUCACCUCCAAAUCUUUUCGCGUUCAACUUGAAUCCAUCGGUUUUUGGUUCCUUCCUUUGAUCAACGUUAGCCACCCAUGUGUUUGGCCUCUAGAGGUGAUCCACCAGGGAAGAAGAAAUAUUCAAGAAGAAGGGUGAUUGGCUAAACCCUAGUUUUCUAUCUCUAUAGAAAAAGAACGUUCUCUCCAACAAUUGGAAUCACGUCUGUUGUGCAAAGUCAACAACAACUCUACACCCAUAAUAAGACUCCUUUUAUUAAUAGAUGUGGGCAACCCUCCUUAACAAUUAAGGAAUUGGGUUUUAUUUCAAUUAAUUAAAUUCUUCUAAUUAACUAGGCUCCCAAUCUUAUUAGGAAUAAUUAAUUAAACUCUUUUAAUUAAUUAGCCUCCUAAUCUUAUUAGGAUAUUUGAGAGUACUUUUAUUAAUUAAUUCCCAAACUCCUUUAGGAAUUAAAUAAUAAUAAUAAUAAUAAUAAUAAGACUCCUCUUGUCAACACGUGAGGUAGGGUAUUUAAGAGUCGUGGGUUCGAGAAUCGUCGGAUUCCGACUUAAAACCAAGAAAACGAGCAUUGAACUCUCAUUAACAUUUACGAACGCUUAAAAAAUGAACUCAAUAGUGAAUUUAAACUUAACAGAUUCAAAAGUGUUGAAUUUUUAUAUGAACGCGUAAAGUAUGUCAAUUAUGAUGUGUAGCCUUUUGAACGGACCAAAUCGGACUUAUAACGAAGAAGUUAUGCUCCGAGAAAUUCACCAAAUUUUUAUUUAUUGGAAAAAUUCUGGUAUUGAGGUCUGGCGCCGCGGCGCCAGACAGUGCUUAAAUUGCCGCGCCACAGCGCCGGUACAGUGUAGUUGGCUACUGGAAAAUGGCGCCGCAGCACCACUUGUAUAGGGAAGUCUCGCGCCGCAGCGCCGAGACCGGGACUUGGGUACUGCUAACUGGCGCCGCAGCGCCAGUCUUGUACUAAGAUGUCACGCCGAGGUGCGGGUGCAGGGUUUUUGAUAGAUGACUUAGGUUUUGAACUUUAAUUGUUCAAAGACCUAUAGGAGUAAAAUUUAUGCACUUUAUAAGUGUACUAAAACUAUUCCUAUACUAUAUAUACUAAGGUAUAUGGUAUUGAAACUUAGGAAUUGAAUGCAUGUUAGUAAGUUAUGAAUGAAGGACACAAAGUUUUAUCAAUGAACCCUAGUCGGGAAAUAACGUUGGUACUUUGCUAAUGAUGAUAGAGUCCGGUUAAUAACGUAAGUUGAUUAAUAAGUCGGGACGAAGGGUAAUAAGUCGAGUUGACUUUAUUAAUGAUAUUAAGUUAACAAAGACAUAGAAUAGAAAGAAGUUGGUAGGAACAAUGUGAAUAAUUGUUUGAUAGCUACUUACAGUGUGCUAUAUGAAUAUAUCAUGUAUAUUUUAUAAAGGUUUUGGUCAGUCAAUUAAGUUAUUUGAAGACGCUGAAAGGAAAGUUUUCUUAACGCUUGUCUAACCUUCAAGUUAGUCAAGUUUAAUGUGAUUCAUUGUACUGAAUUGCACGACUAAUUUUAAAGAAAGGGUCAAUGCCAGAUUUAACUCGGCUAGACUACUUGUAAGAUAUAGAUUGAUUGAUAUUCAUAUCAUUCUAUAUAGAAAUGUUAACUCUAUCCUAUGCCAAGUAAUUAGUACGGAUGUGAAGGUAAGGUUUGUCUAUGAACAAACAAAAGUAUUUUUCAUCGAUUAUUCGAUGGGCACGCGAGUUUGCCAAAUGUUAAACGUAAAUAUGUUUAACGAAUGAGUGUUGAUCAACAUAGAGUACUAUAGGCUAAUCACCUAGAAGUGCUCGUAAGUAAUGCGGAUGUAUAGUCUUAGUGCUGUGAUAUCCUUUUCAAGUAUGAAAACAAAAAGAUACUUUUCAUGGUCUAUCGACCGGUUCAGAAUUCCUAAUCUACACUAUACUUUGGGAAUUGAUGUUAUGAAAUGUUAAAGUAUUAUUUUUUCAUAAUACUUCAUAACUAUUUGUUCAGUUAUGUAUGAAUUAUUAUAUAAUUCACGAAGGUGGUAUUACUGUUUUCCUUUGAUAAACUUGUUGAGCUUGUUAUGCUCACUUCUUGCAUGAAUUAUAUGAUUGCAGUUAAGGAUGAACGUACUGAUAAUGCUAAGAGAGAUAAGGGCAGAGCUAAGAUGGAUACUUAGUCACCGUGUAAUAGAUUAGUAUGUUUGUAUGUAUUAUACAUUAUGAACAACGAACUAUGUAAUCAGUUUAUGAACCUGGGAAGGAUUAUACUUUGAUUGUAAUAAGAAGAUAGUAAUUACAUUCAUUAUGUUGUAUUUCAAUGAAAUGAUUGUGUAGUUAUGAGUACCGUGUAACACCAUAUGUGUAACAUUCUAGAAUUUUAAUUGUUAUAUUAAAUAUUUAUUGAAUUAUUUAAAUAUUUAAUGGAUGUGUUUAUUGUUGAAUAAAUAAUUGUUCAAAUUUGAAUUGAUGUGGUUAACUAUUUGCUAAAUAAAUAAUUAAGGAAAAUUUAUUAUUUUGCUAAUUUAAUUUAAUUAUUAAGUUAGAGAAUUUUGAUUAAUUGAAUAACUAUUUUUUUUAUUGGAAUUUGUAAAUUUAAAAGGAUAUGUUAGUGGAUUAAAUAAAAUUAUGAUUAUAAAGAAAAUUAUAAUUUUGUGGUAUUGAUUUAUGUGUUAAAGUAAUUUAAUAAAUUGUUUUUAGAAUUAAUUUAAUUAAGUUAAUGUGUGACAAAUAACCUUUUAUAAAGUAGUUAUUAAAAUAACUUAAAGGAGUUUUAAUGUAGUUUUGCCAAACAAGGCUUAUUGCUUAUUAAGUCUUUAUUCUACUUGUGUUUUACCAAACAAGACCUAAAGAUUAAUUGGUUAUUUUUUUAGUGACUAGCCAAACAAGCCUUAUGGCUUUUGAUUUUUAAAACUCAUAUAACUGAUAUCAGUUAUAUGUUUUGUAUUUAUAUAAUAUAAUCAAUAUAUAGUAUAUUCUAUAUACGUUAUUUGUUAAGUACGUUAGAUAGAGAAAGAGAAAAAAAGAAAACUCAGAGGAAGAAGAAGAAGAAGAAGGGAAGAAGAAGAGAAGAGAGGAAGAAAGGCUAGAGAGUGGAGAAAGGCUUGUCAAGUAAAGAGAUAGCCAUCAUCACCUUCUUCAAGGUUUCAUCCUACCCUUUUUCUUUUAUGUUUUCUAAAAUUCUAGUUUUCUCUUCUCUAAUUCUCUAUAAAUUCCUUGUGUAAAGAUAAAUUGUCGUUGUUAUGUGGCUUUAUAUUGCAUACUAGUGAUGUUAAAACGAUUUUCAUAAGUUGUAGUCAAUAAAUNNNNNNNNNNNNNNNNNNNNNNNNNNNNNNNNNNNNNNNNNNNNNNNNNNNNNNNNNNNNNNNNNNNNNNNNNNNNNNNNNNNNNNNNNNNNNNNNNNNNNNNNNNNNNNNNNNNNNNNNNNNNNNNNNNNNNNNNNNNNNNNNNNNNNNNNNNNNNNNNNNNNNNNNNNNNNNNNNNNNNNNNNNNNNNNNNNNNNNNNNNNNNNNNNNNNNNNNNNNNNNNNNNNNNNNNNNNNNNNNNNNNNNNNNNNNNNNNNNNNNNNNNNNNNNNNNNNNNNNNNNNNNNNNNNNNNNNNNNNNNNNNNNNNNNNNNNNNNNNNNNNNNNNNNNNNNNNNNNNNNNNNNNNNNNNNNNNNNNNNNNNNNNNNNNNNNNNNNNNNNNNNNNNNNNNNNNNNNNNNNNNNNNNNNNNNNNNNNNNNNNNNNNNNNNNNNNNNNNNNNNNNNNNNNNNNNNNNNNNNNNNNNNNNNNNNNNNNNNNNNNNNNNNNNNNNNNNNNNNNNNNNNNNNNNNNNNNNNNNNNNNNNNNNNNNNNNNNNNNNNNNNNNNNNNNNNNNNNNNNNNNNNNNNNNNNNNNNNNNNNNNNNNNNNNNNNNNNNNNNNNNNNNNNNNNNNNNNNNNNNNNNNNNNNNNNNNNNNNNNNNNNNNNNNNNNNNNNNNNNNNNNNNNNNNNNNNNNNNNNNNNNNNNNNNNNNNNNNUUGAUUUCAUAUUGUAUCCAGUGAGCAAUUGUUUUGCUCACUCUUGCAUGUUUAUAAACUCAUUGCAGCUAAAGAGAAGAAGGUAGAUGAACCUUCGACUAGCAAAGGAAAGGGAAAAAUGUGCAAGUGAUGAAGACUUGUAAUUUUAUUUUGAUAGAGAUGUUAGAUUUUAUUAUGAUGAUCUUAGACUUGGUUUUAAUGAAGCUUUAUUUAAUUUCCGCAUAUGAAUGAUUGUAUUUAAAGGUUAGAUAACCUGGGAGAUUAUAUUAUGUAACCCUUUAAUGGGAAAGGUUUUAUUUAUCCAGUUUUAUUGAGUUUGGGUAGUUAGAUAUGAAUGUUUGAUUACGUGAACACCAGAUCCUAUGGAAAUGAAGUACCUGGAUUUGGGGGUGUCACAGGUUGGUAUCAGUGCUUUAGGUUAUGAACCUUAGGUGGGGGAAAAGCCUUAGGAAGUAACCUUCGAGAAGAUAGUGAUGAUAAACUCUUAUCUUGUUUUAAGGAAGAAGUAAUAAAACACUUAUGUGCUUAUGUGAUUACAACUUAUGUUCUCGUGAGAGUCGAGUAAUAAUGAUUAAUAACUAAAACUUAAAAAUCUUGUUGUCAGGAAGACUAAUAUCGGAGAAUCCAGUCAGGCUAGGGAGGAAGGACCUCAGAUGCCUAGAGAGGAGGAAUCUCGUGAUAUUCAAGUGGUUUGGGAACAACAGCUUCCACGAGAGUCAGCUCCAUUACUCGCAAUGGUCGAGGAUGAUGAUGAUGAUGAUGAUGAUGUAGAAACAGAUGAGGAAGAUCCCGUGGAACUGCCGCAGACGGAUGAAGAGGACGAGGAGGAAAGGAUUCCACUUAACUCAAUAGCUGGCCGUAUAUAAGAUGAGGUGCAUGACCGCAACGUGGAACUUUAAGAUACUAUUGAGGAAUUGCAAGAGAUAGUAGCUGAACAACAGACUUCGUUGGCACAGAAGGACGAUGAGAUUCAGGAUCGAGAAGAAUGACUGAACAAUGUUGAAGAGAAGCUGGUUCACACUAAAGAAGAGAACGAUCAAAUGAGAGCAGAGGUUGCAGAGUUGAAGAGUAAGUUGAGAGAAGAAUCUGCAAAAAGGGCAAGAGCCAAAGAUGCAUACAGUGAAGCUUAUCAACAAGCCGAAAUAGCAAAGGGAGACGCACAAGCAAAGAGAAAGAAGAUGGAAGAAAUGGAUAAUGUGUUCAACACCGCGAUCAAUCAAGCUCAAGACCGGGUCAUGGGUUAUCCAAUUCAGUUCGAGACGCUACCCUCGUUCAUACUGGACUGUCGAACCAUGUUCCGAGUUAUGGAAGAAGAACAUCGUAAGGCUUUGCAAUAUCUUAAUAGGACAUCGUAGGGAGUGUACUUGAGUUAUGUUAUGAUAAAUAAUUUGUUAAUCCUAAGUGUUAUGCAACCUAUGGGAUAUGAUGAUGAUGUCCUGAAACUUUAGUAGUUCAGGAAAAUAAUGUAAAUAGCAGUGAUGUUAUUGAUAUGAUGUUUUCAAAGAAGUUUUGACUAAAAGAUAUUAUUUUCUUUUAUCUAAAGUGUUAUGUGUUAUGAAGUGAUUACUUUAUGGGGGCAAGUUAAGUAGAAAUUACUUGAAAAGAGUUGAGCAAUAAUCUAAUGAAUGUAUUCUUUUGAAAAGAAAAUGCCUCCAAGACGUCAACCACCCCGUCAGAGAACCACCGAAGAAACCAACAACGAUAAUGCUGAAACUAACUCUGUUCGGCAGUUGGUGACGUUACUAACCGGUGCAUUACAAAAUCAACCGUAGAAUCAACCUCAGAACCAAGGUGCUACGUUUAAGGACUUCAAGGCGGUUGGACCACCAGAAUUUCGUGGAUCCAUGAACCCAGUUGAAGCACAGACUUGGAUUAUGGAAAUUGAGAAGGUUUUUGAUGUUGCUAGGGUAGAGGAGAAUCAGAAGACUGCUUUUGCAACGUUUAUGUUGAAGGAGGAGGCUAGCUAUUGGUGGCAGGCCAAUAAGACUCGGGAAGGACCAGGAGUAAUGACCUGGGAUAAGUUUAAGGAGCUGUUCUUCGAGACUUAUUUCCCUGAGAGUUCGAAGAGUCAGCUAGAGGUCCAGUUUUUGGAGUUGAAGCAAGGAACAAUGUCGGUGUCGGAGUAUGCCGCGAAGUUCAACGAGUUGGAAAGGUUUGCGCCAUAUCAGGUCAGCACAGACGAGUGCAAGGCGAAGAGGUUUGAGCAGGGAUUGAAACCCUGGUUGUACAGUAGGGUCUCCCUGUUCCAAUUGAAGACAUUUGCAGCAGUGAUGGAGAAGGCGAUUCUCGCUGAAAGUGGAGGCGAGGCAGUAACAAAGCAUAAUCAAGAGCAGAGAAAUAAGAAAAGUGAAGGUGAAGCUAAGAGUAGUGGUAACGGUAGUAAUGGCAACAACCUGAAGAGGAAGUGGAAUGGAAAUGGAGGAGCUGGAAAUCAGCAAAAAAAACCAACAAAAUAAGAAGUUCGAACCAUGUGUUACGUGCGAAAAGUUUCAUAAGGGAGUGUGUUUGCUGGGGAAAUGUGUAUACUUUAAUUGUGGCCAGGAGGGACACAUUGCCCCAAAUUGCACUCAAUCUAAGAAGAAUGUGUGCUUCACGUGCGGAUCUAAGGAUCACUUUGCUCGUGAAUGCCCUAAGAAGAGAUCUGGUGAGACAAAUGGGAGCAAGGGAAAUGCUAGUGGAAGUGCGUUGGCUAUUGCUGGACCAAUAACAACAAAUAAGCCCACAUCCAGAACCUUCAACAUGACUAUGCAAGAUGUUGUGCAAUCAAAGGAUGUGGUGUCAGGUAUUAUCCUGAUCAAUGAUAUUGAUGCUUAUGUAUUAUUUGAUUCGGGUGCUACUUGCUCAUUUAUAUCUGAUGAAUUUUCUAUGAGAUUAGGAUUGCCUAGUGAAGAAUUGAAUUUUCCUUUAAACAUAAAAAUUGCGAAUAAGGAAGUAGUUCCUGUUAGGUUCGUAUACAAGAACUGUAGGGUAAACAUUAAGGGAAAUAUUUUGAUGGUAGAUUUGAUUCCGAUCAGGCUAGGAGAGUUUGAUGUUAUUUUGGGAAUGGAUUGGUUGUUUAAUUGUGGAGCAAUAAUUGACUGCCAAAAGAAAUGUGUAAACCUUAUGACUCCGUCAAAGGAAGUAUUUAAUGGUAGCAAAUCGCCUAGACAAAUGAGAUGUCUGACAAUUAUGCAGGCCAAAAAGUUGUUGAGUCAGGGCUGUGUGGGUUAUUUAGCUUACAUAGUCGAUACUCAGAAGAAGGGUGCAAAACUGGAAGAAAUACCAAUGGUUAGGGAAUUUGUGGACGUGUUUCCAGAGGAUUUGCCAAGACUUCCGCCUGAUAGAGAAAUCGAGUUCGUGAUCAACUUAGCGCCGGGAACCGCUCCGAUAUCGAAAGCCCCGUACAGAAUGGCUCCGGUGGAGAUGAAAGAACUGAUGGUACAACUACAGGAGCUGUUGGACAAGAAAUACAUUCAGCCGAGUGUGUCACCGUGGGGAGCACCGGUGUUAUUCAUAAAGAAGAAGGAUGGGUCAAUGCGUCUUUGCAUUGAUUAUAGAGAGUUAAACAAAGUCACUAUUAAGAACAAAUAUCCAUUGCCGAGAAUAGAUGACUUGUUUGAUCAAUUGAAGGGUGCUAGAUAUUUCUCGAAAAUAGAUUUGAGAAGUGGGUAUCAUCAACUGAAGGUAAGAAAGGAGGAUGUACCGAAGACGGCAUUCCGAACUCGGUAUGGACAUUACGAAUUUUUGGUGAUGUCUUUUGGUUUGACAAACGCCCCUGCAGCGUUCAUGGAUUUGAUGAACAGGGUGUUUAAACCAUUUUUGGACAAGUUUGUGGUGGUGUUUAUCGACGAUAUUCUAGUGUAUUCUAAAACUUAAGAGGAACAUGUGGAACACUUACGUCUAACGCUGGAGAUGCUAAGAAAAGAAAAGUUGUAUGCAAAAUUCUCUAAAUGUGAAUUUUGGCUGGAACGUGUACAAUUUCUUGGGCACAUAAUUGACAAGGAUGGAAUUUCAGUGGAUCCAUUAAAGAUUGAAGCUGUGAUAAAUUAGGAACAACCGAGAACUCCAUCAGAAGUGAGAAGUUUCUUGGGAUUAGUAGGGUAUUACAGACGGUUUAUCCAGGAUUUUUCCAAGAUUGUCACUCCGUUGACAAAUUUGAUGAGGAAGUCUGUAAAAUUUGUUUGGACGGAGAAAUGUGAGGAGAGUUUUCAAGAAUUGAAAAAGAAGCUAAGUAUGGCACCUGUGUUGUCAUUACCAGAUAAUACAGGAAAUUUUGUGGUGUAUAGUGAUGCUUCACACAAGGGAUUAGGGUGUGUCCUUAUGCAAAACGGUAAAGUCAUCGCGUAUACAUCAAGACAAUUGAAAGAUUACAAAAGAGGGUAUUCGACUCAUGAUUUAGAAUUGGCGGCGGUUGUGUUUUCUCUGAAGAUAUGGAGACACUAUCUCUACGGAGAGAAAUGUGAGAUUUACACAGACCAUAAAAGUCUGAAGUUUAUUUUCACAUAGAAGGACCUGAACAUGCGUCAAAGAAGAUGGAUGGAACUGAUAAAAGAUUAUGAUUGUGAGAUCUUUAAUCAUCCAGGCAAAGCAAACGUGGUUGCAGAUGCCUUGAGUAGGAAAGGCAGGGAAAAGUUGAUGUUGUUAACUGAUAAGGAGGAGCUUAUUACAGCAAUGUCAAGGUUAGAGUUAGAGAUCAAAUUUCCAAAAGAAUCCGAUGAGAAAUUGUACCAGAUAGAAGCCAGUCCAACUUUGGUGGACAAAGUGAAGAACGCUCAACUACAGGAUGAGGAAUGCAGAAAAAUCAAAGAAAGUGCGGUUGAGGGAAAAGAGGUGAAAUACAAGAUUGAUACCGAUGGAAUGUUGAGAUUUGAAGAACGAAUAUGGGUUCCAGUAGUACCAGAGAUUAAAGAAGAAAUCUUGACCGAAGCUCAUAACUCGAGAUAUUCGAUUCAUCCAGGGAGUACGAAGAUGUAUCAAGAUUUGUGACGACAUAUUUGGUGGCCAAAUAUGAAAAGAGACGUUGCAGAAUGCGUUUCAAAGUGCUUGACAUGUCAGAGAGUCAAGGCCGAGCAUCAAAGACCAAGCGGGUUACUUCAACCGUUGGAGAUACCGGAAUGGAAAUGGGAACAUAUCACAAUGGAUUUUGUGGUAGGUCUUCCAACAACUCAGAAAGGAUACGAUGCGAUAUGGGUGAUAGUGGACAGAUUGACAAAAUCUGCACACUUUUUGCCAAUAAAGAUUAGAUUCAAUCUUGAUCAGCUUGCAAAGUUAUAUGUUAAAGAGAUCGUGUCAAGACAUGGAGUUCCAGUGUCGAUUGUGUCAGACAGAGAUCCGAGGUUCGCAUCAAACUUCUGGAAGAAACUACAAGAAUGUAUGGGAACACAAUUACGAAUGAGUACGGCAUAUCAUCUGCAAAUAGAUGGCCAAAGCGAACGAACGAUCCAGACGUUGGAAGAUAUGUUGAGAGCAUGCGUCAUGGAUUUCAAAGGAAGCUGAGAUGAACAAUUACUGUUGGUAGAAUUUGCUUACAAUAACAGCUACCACAUUAGCAUCGGCAUGUCGCCUUAUGAAGCAUUAUACGGCAGAAAGUGCAGAACUCCACUAUGCUGGGAUGAAGUCGAUGAACGUCAACUGUUAGGACCAGAAAUGGUACAAUAAACUGCUGAGGUUGUCAAACUCAUCAGAAUAAGAUUGAUAGCUGCUCAAGACAGACAAAAGAAAUAUGAUGAUCAACACAGACAAGAUCGUGUAUUUGACAUAGGAGAUUUCGUAUUCCUAAAGGUUUCUCCUUGGAAGGGAAAAAUUCGAUUUGGUAAGAAGGGGAAACUAAGUUCAAGAUUUAUUGGACCAUUCGAAGUGCUGCGAAAGGUUGGAGAGGUGGCUUACGAGGUAUCUCUACCUCCAGAGUUGCAAAACAUUCAUAAUGUUUUUCACGUGUCGGUGUUACGACCAUACAAACCUGAUUACAAGCACGUGAUUGAGUACGAACCACUGCAGUUUGAGAAAGAUUUGUCCUAUAAAGAGAUUCCUAUCCAGAUAGUCGACAGGAAAAAACAGGUGCUCAGGAAUAAGGUGAUACCUUCUGUGAAGGUAAUUUGGAGGAACCACAAUGUCGAAGAGGCUACGUGGGAACUCAAAGCUGAAAUGAUGAAGAAUUACCCUGAGUUAUUUGUUUGAUCUGUGUCUUCAAUUCUGGGGACAGAAUUUUUGUAAGUAGGGGAGAAUGUGACGAAUGAAUUGUUUUAAUUGUGAUUCUGGGGACAGAAUCCUUGUAAGGAGGGAAUGAUGUAACAUUCUAGAAUUUUAAAUGUUAUAUUAAAUAUUUAUUGAAUUAUUUAAAUAUUUAAUGGAUAUGUUUAUUGUUGAAUAAAUAAUUGUUCAAAUUUGAAUUGAUGUGGUUAAUUAUUUGUUAAAUAAAUAAUUAAGGAAAAUUAAUUAUUUUGCUAAUUUAAUUUAAUUAUUAAGUUAGAGAAUUUUGAUUAAUUCAAUUACUAUUCUUUUUAUUGGAAUUUGUAAUUAAAAAGGAUGUGUUGGUUGAUUAAAUAAAGUUAUAAUUAUAUAGAAAUUAUAAUUUUGGUGGUAUUGAUUUAUGUGAUGAAGUGAUUUAAUAAAUUGUUAUUAUGAUUAAUUUAAUUAAAUUAAUGUGUGACAAAUAACCUUGUUAUAAAGGAGUUACUAAAAUAACUUAAAGGAGUUUUAAUUCAGUUUUGCCAAACAAGGCCUAAGGCCUAUUAAGUCUUUAAUUUAUUUGAGUUUUACCAAACAAGGUGUUAGGAUUAAUGGGUUAUUUUGUUAGUGGUUAACCAAACAAGCCUUAUGGCUUUUGAUUUUUAAAACUCAUAUAACUGAUAUCAGUUAUAUGUUUUGUAUUUAUAUUAUAUAAUCAAUAUAUAUUAUAUUCUAUAUACGUUAUUUGUUACGUACGUUAGAUAGAGAGAGAGAAGAAAAGAAAACUCAGAGGAAGAAGAAGAAGAAGAAGAAGAAGAAGAAGAAGGAGGGAAGAAGAAGAGAAGAAGAAAAGAAGAGAGGAAGAAAGGCUAGAGAGUAGAGAAAGGCUUGUCAAGUAAAGAGAUAGCCAUCAUCAUCUUCUUCAUGGUUUCAUCCUACCCUUUUUCUUUUAUGUUUUCUAAAAUUCUAGUUUUCUCUUCUCUAAUUCUCUAUAAAUUCCUUGUGUAAAGAUAAAUUGUCGUUGUUAUGUGGCUUUAUAUUGCAUACUAGUGAUGUUAAAACGAUUUUCAUAAGUUGUAGUCAAUAAAUUGGUAUUAUGUUUAUGGUUGUGAAGAAAAUGUUUUUUACAGAGAGUUUUUAUGAAAAUAUAUUGUUUAGCUUAAAGUAGAAAUUGAGGGUGAAUUAGUGGUUUAGUUGAUUAAUUUAUCGUUUAAUUUGUUAGAGUAUGUAUAAUCAUUGAUAAAGACACUUUGAAAUAGUGGUUUUGGUUGAAAAACAAAAGUUACAGUGUUGAUUUUCAUUCAAAUAUAAAAAAAUGAGAUUUAGCCAAAAAUAGUGAAUUUGGGUGUGUUAAUUUUGUUGUUUAUGUUGUUGUAUGGGUAGAAACAUGUUAGGAAUUCUUGAAUUAUGUUUACAUGAAGUUUUUGUAUGAAUUGUAUGUGAAUCAGUCUGUUAGAAUCGAGCUUGUAGACCAAAAUUAGCUUUUUCCUGCACUAUUGUCGAAGCUGUCAGUCGAAACUGCAGUUUCGGGCCGCGGCGCGGCCUAGCAGUGUUAGUUUCGCGCCGCAGCAUCGGCUCCACGCCGCAGCGCGGCUUUGUAGUUUUGUUCCCGCGCCGCAGCGCCAUUCUCACGCCGCAGCGCGAGUUAGCAGAAUGGUCUUACAGUGUACUUUUUGUACACGAAAUUUUAAGAAAAGUUAUGUGAUGAUAGUAGGACUGCUAAAUGUUGAUUUUAGUAUAUCUAUACUAUGAAUAAGUAUGUUAUUAACAAUUAACUUGUGUUAUAACUCGAUUAUGUGAUUAAAAAUCCAAUUUUUAAAUGAUGAACGUACUUAGUUAUGUUUGUAAGAUGGUAAUGACUAAUUAUGUCAUGAUGACAUAUGUUUAUAGGAUAUUGUGAUUCGUAUUGAUUUGGUUUAGCCUACGAGCAAGGCAAGUUUUCUAAACUUUCUUUUUACAUUGAGCAAGUUCUUUAACUCUACUUUUAGAAUUGUGCAAUCGCUUAAAUUUUCUUUGAGCAAGUUUUUCUAAUCCUUUAUCUUGUUGAACUAAUUAUGGUUUUCAAUUCGAUUAUGAUAUAAUGAUGUAAGUUAUUCUUGAGCAAGUUAUUCUUGUAUUUAACUUGUUGUUUAGCAUGCAAAUUUAUAUAUUCUAAUGUUGAACAUUUUUAUCGAUCAAAUUGUUAUGCAUGCUUAGUAUUCAAUUCUAAUUAACCUUGGCUUAGUAUUGUUCAAGCAAGGUGUUAUAGUUAUUCAAAUUGUAUGCUCUUAGAUUAUUCCUAAAGCAUGACUUUAGUUUACUAUGAUUGAUUCAAUCACGAUUAUUCUAUAGUGAAAUGUUCUUGGUUUCAUUCAACUAAUCCUUAGUUGAUGUUCGUUGAAUUCCAAAUUACCCUGAAAGCUUAUCCAAACCAAACUUCCUUUGGUGCGGACUUGUACUCUAAAUACUGAGAUGAACAACCCUAAUGUUAUGAUUAGGGGUUAACUUACGCGUAGCGUUAAAUGUUUGUGCACAAUACAUGGUACGAAGGGCUGAUCCCCCUAAGUACGAGGAGUCCUUAUAGUCUUAUGACUGUUAAAGUUGGAGUUGAAAGAUUACUCGCAACUGUGGACAUAGUUCAUGGUCUUAUGACCCUCAGUUAUAUUUAUUCCACAUUUUGGAUUUCAGUUUCUGAUUAUUGAUGAUAGAGUACUAUUCAUUGUUGAUGAGCCUAUUAUUGGCAGUUAUUAUUACUAUACUCCUGUUGAUUUCAUAUUGUAUCCAGUGAGCAAUUGUUUUGCUCACUCUUGCAUGUUUAUAAACUCAUUGUAGCUAAAGAGAAGAAGAUAGAUGAACCUUCGACUAGCAAAGGAAAGGAAAAAAUGUGCAAGUGAUGAACACUUGUAAUUUUAUUUUGAUAGAGAUGUUAGAUUUUAUUAUGAUGAUCUUAGACUUAGUUUUAAUGAAGCUUUAUUUAAUUUCCGCAUAUGAAUGAUUGUAUUUAAAGGUUAGAUAACCUUGGAGAUUAUAUUAUGUAACCCUUUAAUGGGAAAGGUUUUAUUUAUCCAGUUUUAUUGAGUUUGGGUAGUUAGAUAUGAAUGUUUGAUUACGUGAACACCAGAUCCUGUGGGAAUGAAGUACCUGGAUUUGGGGGUGUCACAAUAUGUCGGGUUAGAAGAUACCCGAAUUUGGGGGCGUCACAGGUUGGUAUCAAAGCAUUAGGUUAUAGAACUUAAGGGGGAAAUAACUUUAGGCUAAUAACCUCGUAAGGAAGGAAAAGUCUGAAGAAUGAAAUUCAAGUCAAGUGAAUUAAUAAGGUAUUGAGGAAACUCAGUACCGAAAGAUUUAAAAGAUGGAAAUUAAUCCUAAAUAAAUUAAAUGUGAUUUGUGCUUAUACUAUUGUGUAUUAUGUACUAAUCAACGUGUUAUGUGUUUUGUAGAUGUCAAACGAUAGUUUGAUGUUUAGAGACAUUGAAGUGAUAAAUGAGGAGACAGUGAACCAAGUGGAGGUAGUACCGAUGCCAGUGGCGGAGGUACCAUUAGUGGUUUUGGAAGACUCUGAUAUUGAGGAGUACAUCUAUGAGGGGGAAUACUCCGAGGAGACAAUGGGGAUAGCGUCAUAUCUAAAUAUGACGAUUGACGUGGAGGAGGAGAUGGAGGUAACAUCGAUUAACACGGUGAUACCUAUUCAGGAGCCAACACCUCCGGAUGCAAUGAGAUCAUUAUAUCUGGCAGUGUUGGAUAGGAAUGUGCAUCUGCGCACUGUGGUGCAGACACAAAACGAGGAGAUAACCGCCCUCUAUGAGGCGAAGGAAUCUGCAGAGGCAGAUUUUGAGUCAGAGCACAAUGAGAAAGUGCUUAUGACAGAUAAGGCAUGUGACUAUAAGGAAGAGGCCGUAAAGCUUCGAAAGAAACUGGUUGAAAAAGAACAGAAAAUAGAUAGGAUGUCAUACAUCCACGAAUGUGCUCAUAAGGAUUUCAAGCUGAAAAUUGCUUGUUAUUCUAUUGAGUCAGGGAAGACUCGGCAUACCAUAAGUCGAGAUAUUGUGUCGAUACUAGCAAAUCAGAAAUAUGAGAAUGUCGUUCGACAGUGUUAGUAGAUCAUUGGAUCUUUUUGUAUAUAGGUAGUGACAUAAAACCCUCUUUUGUAUAAUUAAAGGGUAGUCUUUUUGUAAAUCCCAAUUUUUGUAGAAGGGAAACGCGGGAUAGUAUGUAAUAGCUUUUUGGCUAAGGGAACAUGAUGUAAAUAGUUUUGAUUAUGAAAGCAUAUUAUUAUAAUGAAGUUUUUAUUUAAUGUGUUUGUUGUGGUAUGAGUUGUUAUUUGAGAAUGAUAACCAAGCAGUUAAAUAAAUAAUAACGAAACUUUAUUUUUUAAUCAGAAUUAUGCAACCAAGGAGGAGACAACGUAACCAAGAGGCUGAGUCUUAUAAUGAAAAUCAAGGGGGUCUUAAUAACCCUAUGCAAGAGUUCGUUAAUUUAUUAACGACAUCAAUUAACCAAGUUGGGGGAGGGAUUCCUGUAGCUCCUGGAUUAGUAAGAACAACUACCUUCAAGGAAUUUAAGAGUGUGGGUCCUCCUGAGUUCAGAGGAACGACGGACCCUUUAGAGGCCUAGACAUGGGUGAAAGAGAUUGAGAAGGCAUUUGUAAUUACAAACGUAGGUGAGGCGCAAAAGACUUCUUUUUCAACUUACAUGAUGAAGGGGAAAGCCAACUACUGGUGGGAGGCUCACCAGGGUGGGGCUAGGACCGAAGUUGUUACGUGGGAAUAGUUUAAGAAGGUCUUCUUCAAGAACUACUUCCCUACUAGCAUGCAAGGUAGGAUGAAGAUUAAGUUCUUAGAACUUAAGCAAGGGGAUAUGACAGUUCCCCAAUAUGCUGCCAAAUUCAAUGAAUUGGUGAGGUUUGCUCCACAUUUGGUGGAUACAGAAGCAAGAAAGGCACGUAGGUUUGAGCAGGGCUUGAAACCCUGACUCUACAGUAGGAUAUCAAUUUUUUAGAGUGCCUCCUACGGGACCAUUCUGGAAAAGGCGAUAAUAGCAUAAGGUGGUGGUGAGGCAUUGUCUCAGUACCACAAAGAGCGGAAGAAUAAGAGUAAGUUAGAAGGAGGUAGUAUGGCUGAAGUUGUCAGCGGAAGCGGGAACUUGCCUAAGAGGAAGAGUUUCAACCCUGGGAAUACUGGGGUAAAACAGGGAGAUCCUAAGCGUAGGACGGAGGCAUGCAAGACAUGCGGAAAGACUCAUAUGGGAGUCUGCUUAAAGGGGGAAUUAGUUUGCUACAACUGUGGGUGGGAGGGACAUUUGUCACCCAACUGUCCUAACCCUAAGAAGAACCAUGGGUGUUUUGUCUAUGGAUCGUUGAACCACAUGGCAAGGAAUUGCUCGAAGAAAGGGUAAGAGGGAAAUAAGGGUUCUGGUAGUGGUAAAUUAGCCAUUACUGGACCAACACCAUCAGUGGGUAGACCCUCAGCUCGUACAUUUAAUAUGACUGUCCAAGAUGCGGUUGCAUCAAUGGAUGUGGUAGCAGGUAUCAUUCCGGUCAAUGAGAUAAAUGCUUAUGUGUUAUUUGACUCGGGUGCUACUUGUUCUUUUAUAGCAUAUGAAUUUGCUAAGCGAUUAGGUUUAAUCCCUGAAAAGUUAUCAAUACCUUUAGACGUUAAGGUAGCCAAUGAAGAUAUAAUCCCCAUUGAACAUAUUCAUAAGGAUUGUUGCGUAGAUAUUAGAGGGAAUAAGUUAUCGGUAGAUUUUGUACCGAUAAGGUUAAAAGAAUUCGAUGUAAUUCUUGGUAUGGAUUGGUUGGUUAACCAUAAGGCGAUAAUUGAUUGCCAUAGGAAAAGUGUAAACCUUCGGCUUUCUAAGAAAACCAAGGUAGUGUUCUUGGGUAGUAAAUCACCGAGACGCUCUUGUUGUCUAUUGAUGACAUAAGCUAGGAAGAUGUUGAGGAAAGGGUGUGUAGGUUAUCUGUGCCAUGUUGUGGAUACCCAAAGAGUGGGAACAUCCUUGGACCAGAUACCUAUAGUGCAAGAGUUCGCGGAUGUAUUUUCGGAGGAGUUACCGGGUAUUCCACCGGAUAGGGAGGUUGAGUUUGUAAUUGAUCUGUUACCGGGAACGUCACCAGUUUCAAGGGCACCAUAUCGGAUGGCGCCAGUUGAGAUGAAGAAGUUAAUUGUUCAAUUGCAAGAAUUAUUAGAUAGAAAGUAUAUUCAACCGAGUGUGUCUCCUUGGGGAGCACCGGUAUUGUUUGUAAAGAAAAAAGAUGGGUGGUUAAGACUUUGUAUCGACUAUCGAGAGUUGAACAAGUUAACGAUUAAGAAUAAAUACGCAUUUCCCAGGAUCGAUGAUUUAUUUGAUCAGUUGAAAGGGGCAAAGUAUUUUUCUAAGAUAGAUUUGCGCACGGGGUAUCAUCUGUUAAAGGUGAAGAAGGAGGAUGUACCUAAGAUGGCGUUCAGAACUCAUUAUGGUCAUUACGAGUUUCUGGUGAUGUCAUUUGGGUUGACUAAUGCUCCAGCCGCAUUUAUGGAUAUGAUGAACAUAGUGUUCAAACAGUAUUUGGACAAGUUCGUCGUAGUAUUCAUUGAUGAUAUUCUAGUCUAUUCAAAGACGCUAGAAGAUCAUGUCGAACAUUUAAGGAUAGUAUUGGAAACACUAAGGAAGGAAAGGUUGUAUGCAAAAUUCACAAAGUGUGAAUUUUGGCUCGAGAGAGUGCAGUUUCUAGGACAUGUUAUUGAUAAAGAUGGCAUUUUCGUAGAUCCAGCAAAAGUGGAAGCAGUUAAUGAGUGGGAGCAACCGAAAAUGCCAACUGAGGUUAGGAGUUUUCUGGGGUUAGCGGGAUACUAUAGAAGGUUCAUUCCUGACUUUUCUAAAAUAGCUACUCCGUUGACGAAUCUAACAAGAAAGUAGGUAAAGUAUGUGUGGACUGAAAAAUGUGAGAACAGUUUUCAGGAGUUGAAGAAGAGGUUAAGUGAGGCACCUGUAUUGUCCUUACCAGACGAUACAAAAAAUUUUAUAGUGUAUAGCGAUGCUUCACAUAAAGGACUGGGUUGCGUGCUCAUGUAACAUGGUCAGGUCAUUGCGUAUGCGUUACGUCAAUUAAAGGAUUAUGUGAAGGUCUAUCCUACUCAUGAUCUAGAAUUGGCAGCUGUAGUUUUUGCCUUGAAGAUAUGGAGGCAUUAUCUAUAUGGUGAGAAGUGUGAGAUAUAUACAGACCACAAAAGUCUGAAAUAUAUCUUCAUGCAAAAGGAUUUGAACAUGAGAUAGAGAAGGUGGUUAGAGUUAAUAAAAGAUUAUGACUGUGAUAUUUUAUAUCAUCCGGGGAAAGUAAAUAUAGUAGCUGAUGCGUUAAGUAGGAAGGGUAGAGAGAAACUAUUAAUGUUAACAACUCAGAAUGAGUUGGUAACAAUGAUGGCAAGAAUGGAGUUAGAAGUUAAGUUACCGGAGGAAGCGGUGGAAAUAUUAUUUUCCAUGGAAACCCAACCAACCAUAGUGGAACGGGUUAAGGGAGUACAAUUGAGCAAUAAGGAAUGCGAGCAGAUGAAGAAGAGGAUAGAAGAUGAAGAAAAGACUAAGUAUAACCUCGAUAAAAGGGAUUACUUCAUUUUGAAGGAAGAAUUUGGGUUCCCAAUGAUCCUGAAUUAAAGGAAGAAAUAAUGAUGGAGGCCCAUAGUUCGAGGUACUCGAUACAUCCUGGUAGUACGAAGAUGUAUCAAGAUCUUCGUCAGAACCUUUGGUGGCCGAACAUGAAAAGGGAGAUAGCAGAAUACGUUAGUAGGUGCUUAACUUGUCAAAAAGUUAAGGCUGAACACCAAUGACCGAGUGGGUUGUUGCAAUCAUUAGAAAUUCUAGAGUGGAAAUGGGAGCACAUCACAAUGGAUUUUGUGGUGGGACUUCCAAUAACAAGAAAAGGAUAUGAUGCUAUUUGGGUGACAGUGGAUCGAUUGACGAAAUUGGCUCAUUUUCUACCAAUAAGAGUUAGGUAUAACCUAUAUCAGUUAGCUAAGCUGUAUGUCAAGGAAAUUAUUUCCACACAUGGAGUACCUGUUUUGAUUGUGUCAGAUCGUGAUCCACGAUUCACAUUGAACUUUUGGAGGAGUUUGCAAGAGUAAAUGGGAACGCAGUUAAGAUUGAGUACGACGUAUCAUCCUCAGACGGAUGGUCAGAGUGAACAGACAAUUCAAAUGCUGGAAGAUAUGUUAAGAUCUUGCAUUAUGGAUUUCAAAAGGAGUUGGGACGAAUAUCUACCGUUGGUGGAAUUUUCGUACAACAAUAGUUUUUACGCUAGUAUAGGCAUGCCGCCUUACGAAGCAUUGUAUGGAAGGAAGUGCCAAACUCCAUUGUGUUGGGAUAAGGUGGGUGAACGUCGGAUGUUGGGACCUGAGAUGGUACAGCAAAUGACAGACAUGGUGAAGAUAAUACGUGCUCGAUUAGUUGCAGCCCAAGAUAGGCAGAAGAAGUAUGCAGAUCCUCACAGAGAAGCAAAAAUUCGAUUUAGGAUCUUUUGUCUUUCUAAAAGUAUUGCCUUGGAAGGGGAAGAUACAUUUUAGGAAGAAAGGGAAGUUAAGUCCAAGAUUUGUAGGACCUUUUGAGAUUUUAAGAAGGGUAGGAGAGGUAGCUUAUGAAGUAGCCUUACCCCUAGAAAUGGAACGCAUUCAUAAUAUGUUUUAUGUGUCUGUGUUGCGUCCUUAUAAACUGGACUACAAACACAUAAUAGAGUAUGAAUCUAUUCAGAUAGAGAAAGUUUUAUCAUAUGAAGAACUUCCGAUUCAAAUUAUUGAUAGGAAGGAGCAAGUAUUAAGAAAUAAGGUAAUACCUUCAGUGAAGGUGUUAUGGAGAAACCACAAUGCUGAAGAAGCAGCGUGGGAACUCGAAAGUAAAAUGAAGGAAAAUUAUCCUCAUUUGUUCAUGUAAUUUUAAGCUAGAUUUUGGGGACAAAAUCCUUAUAAGGGGGAGAGAAUGUAACGCUGGAGAAAAUCGAAUUUUUAUGACAAUUAAAUUUUUAUUUGAUUAUGUGAGUUAAAUGAAUUUAAUUGAUUUAUUUUAUGAGUAAGCUAUGUGAAGGUCGUUCUAUGACCUAGAAUGUGUUUAUGUGGUUAGUAAUCUGGCUACGUGCUAGAAUUAAUUGUUUAGAAUUUUUGAGAUGAAAAUAAAUGUUUUCUGAGAAAUUUUCGUAAAAACACUAUUUAUCUGUUUCUGCUCGGGGAAUUAUUUUGAAAUUUUGAGAAACGCGUAAUGAUAAGAUAUGUAGAUGAGAUGAAAUAUCUAAUAAUAUUUUAUUUAUGGCAAACAAAGUUUUCGCAUGCGGACUUAAAACCUAAGGGUUGAGUAUAUUGAUUUCCGAUAAGGAAAUGAAACGCGUAGAAGGAAUUACGAUAUUGUUAAAGUGUGUGUUAUACUAGUAUGAUACUAUUUCGUAUCUAUGUAUAAUACGAUGAGUUUAUACGGAGUACAAUACGAUUAUCGUACGAGUAUUAUGCGGAGAGAAUACGUGAAUUAUACGUAUGGAAUAUGAUUUGUAUUAUAGAAUUAAGUUAAGACUUAAGGUUAAUUCAAUUGGGUUGGAUUAUGAUUAGUCCAAUCACUUGAAUGAGCAAGCCUAAGGGAUUAGUUGUUAAGCCCAAGUCAAGGUCCAAUAUUAAAUUGGUUAAGCCCAAUGUAAGGAAGCCGUACUGGUGGGUCACCGAAUGGGUAAAACCAAUGGGGCAACCCAUGGGGAUAACAUAUGGGCAUGGUGGGUCGGCCCUUGGCGUGCAAGGCAAGCCUAACACUUGGUCACCAAGUAUUUUACUUGGUGACAAAGUGUUGAAUAGUAAGGAGGUGGUGGUGUAUUGACCAAAUUGCCCUCCAUUUCAUUUGCCUAUAAAUAGAAAGCUAAAGUUGGUCUUUUGUGAGUUUUUCAAAUUGCCAACCUAGAAUUUGAGAUAGAGAGAGAGAGAGAGAGCUAGACUCAACCAAAAGUUCUACUUUGAAGCUUUGCAUAAGAGGUUUCCAGAUUUCCUAAGAAUUCUUAAGGUAAUAUUCCUUAAUUCUAAUUCCAUCUAUUUUGGUUUUCUUUUAGUAUGGAGAAUCAUAAAUGGGUGGUGGAUGGCUUGUAUGGUGGAAUAAGAAUGACUUACCAUAGAUUCAAUCUCUAUAAGUCAUGAGAUCAUAAAAAUCAUAAGGGUUGUUAUAGUUUAAAAUCAUGAAAUUAUUGAUUGUUGAGAUUGAUUGUUGAUAAACAAUUGUACUCCAUCAAAAUGUUAAUAUGUGCAUCUUGCUUGGUUAGGAUGUAGAUAUGAAGUCCAUGCAGUAUUCCAUGUGAUUUGGCUUAGAGAACGUUAGUAACGAAGUUAUGGUGAAUUUCACGGAAAUAGACGUUAAAUGUCGAAAACGUUGAAAUUCUGAAUUGGUAGUCAAAAGUUGCCCUGAGACUUGAAAAUGUUGUUUUUCAAUGUCAACACGUGAGGUAGGGUAUUUAAGAGUCGUGGGUUUGAAAAUCGUCGGAUUCUGACUUAAAACCAAGAAAACGAGCAUUGAACGCUCAUUAACGUUUACGAACACUUAAAAAAUGAACUCAAUAGUGAAUUUUGAGUUAACGGAUUUGAAAGUGUCCAAUUCUUAUAUGAACGCGUAGAGUAUGUCAAUUAUGACGUGUAGGCUUUUGAAUGGACCAAAUCGGACUUAUAACGAAGAAGUUAUGGCUCUGAGAAAUUCACCAAAUUUUUAUCUGUUGGAAAAAUUCUUGUACUGAGGUCUGGCGCCAGACAGUGCUUAAAUUGCCGCGCCACAGCGUCGGCACAGUGUAGUUGGCAAUUAGAAAGUGGCGCCGCAGCGCCACUUGUAUAGGGAAGUCUCGCGCCGCAGCACCAAGACCGAGACCUGGGUACUGCUAACUGGCGCUGCAGCGCCAGUCUUGUACUAAGAUGUCACGCCGCGACGCGGGUGUAGGGUUUUUGAUAGAUGACUUAGGUUUUGAACUUCAAUUGUUCAAGGACCUAUAGAAGUAAAAUUUAUGCACUUCAUAAGUGUACUAAAACUAUUCAUAUACUAACUAUACUAAGGUAUAUAGUAUUGAAACUUAGGAAUUGAAUGCAUGUUAGUAAGUUAUGAAUGAAGGACACAAAGUGUUAUCAAUGAACCCUAAUAGGGAAAUAACGUUGGUACUUUGCCAAUGAUGAUAGAGUCCGGUUAAUAACGUAAGUUGAUUAAUAAGUCAGGACGAAGGGUAAUAAGUCGAGGUGACUUUAUUAAUGAUAUUAAGUUAACAAAGACAUAGAAGAGAAAGAAGUUGGUAGGAACAAUGUGAAUAAUUGUUUGAUAGCUAAUUACAGUGUGAUAUGUGAAUAUAUCAUGUAGAUUAUGUAAAGGCUGUGGUCAGUCGAUUAAGUUAUUUGAAGACCCUGAAAGGCAAGUUUUCUUAACGCUUGUCUAACCUUCAAGUUAGUCAAGUUUAAUGUGAUUCAUUGUACUGAAUUGCACGACUGAUUUUAAAGAAAGGGUCAACGCCAGAUUUAACUCGGCUAGACUACUCGUAAGAUAUAGAUUGAUUGAUAUUCAUAUCUUUCUAUAUAGAAAUGCUAACGUUAUCCUAUGCCAAGUAAUUGGUACGAAUGUGAAGGUAAGGUUUGUCUAUGAACAAACAAAAGUAUUUUUAAUCGAUUAUUCGAUGGGCACGCGAGUUUGCCAAAUGUUAAACGUAAAUACAUUUAAUGAAUGAGUGUUGAUCAACAUAGAGUACUAUAGGCUGAUCACCUAGAAGUGCUCGUAAGUAAUGCGGAUGUACAAUCUUAGUGCUGUGAUAUCCUUUUCAAGUAUGAAAAUAGAAAGCUAUUGUUCAUGGUCUAUCGACCGUUUCAGAAUUACUAAUCUACUCUAUACUUUGGGAAUUGAUGUUAUGAAAUGUUAAAGUAUUAUUGGUUCAUAAUACUUCAUAACUAUUUGUUCAGUUAUGUAUGAAUUAUUAUAUAAUUCACGAAUGUGGUAUUACUGUUAUCCUUUGAUAAACUUGUUGAGUUUGUUAUGCUCACUUCUUGCGUGAAUUAUAUGAUUGCAGUUAAGGAUGAACGUACUGAAAAUGCAAAGAGAGAUAAGGGCAAAGCUAAGAUGGAUACUUAGUCAUUGUGUAAUAGAUUAGUAUGUUUGUAUGUAUUAUACAUUAUGAACAACGAACUAUGUAAUCGGUUUAUGAACUUGGGAAGGAUUAUACUUUUAUUGUAAUAAGAAGAUAGUAAUUACAUUCAUUAUGUUGUAUUUCAAUGAAAUGAUUGUAUAGUUAUGAGUACCGUGUUGCACCAUAUGUCGGGUUGGAAGAUACCCGAAUUUGGGGGCAUCACAGGAACUAUUUUAGUUUUAAGCUUUCUAAGAAUUUAGAUCUCAUUAGAAUGAUCAUCAUCAUUAUUCUAAAAGCAUUGCUUAAAACUCUGGGUUUAUCACAUAUUAUAAAACAACAUCAUGUAGAUAAUUAAAAGCCUUUAAUAAAUUAAUACUUUUUAUUAAUAAAUGAAUAAGAUUGUUUCAAAGUAUAUGCUUUAUCAUCAAACAUGAUUGGCUUAUGUGUAUAUUACUUUCAACUUGGUGUAAAAACUACUUAGUUUUGGCACUGAUAAUCAUUGAAAUGUUUGUGUCGCGCUAUUUGCUAUAUACCUGUUGAGAAGGUGAUUCUUUUCUCAUGUGUAUAACAGAUAGAUAGGUUAUAGUUAGAGAAUAUAAGGUUAAGUUACGAGUUCUUAAAACUCAUACUUAUGGUACGUUCGUGACUCAUAAUUAUAUGAAAUGUUUUUGAACCCCUCAACGAAUGGACGCCUAUGGUCUGACUAGGGUAAGUUCUUAAACUCAUAUAAUUGUGGCAAGUUCUUGAAUUUUCAAAGUGUGGUAAGUUUGAUGAACUAUACUGGAUAUAUAUAUAUAUAUAUAUAUUAUGAAGUUAGAAAUUUUGGUAUAGUAGGCAUUGAUGGUGUUAGAGAUUGAUAGAAUGAAGCGAUGGAGUAAAGAUUGAAGUUGAUGGAGAAACAUGGAUUCUCUAAAUCUUCUAGCUCUGCUAGAUUUUCAAAAUUUAUUGAUUUCGUGCUGAUGUUUGCACUUCUGUUUUCUUGAAAAACAUUUGAUCAUGUGAUUGAAGCAAUGAUGUUUAAAAAUAAUAUCGUCAUUCUUUUGUCUAUGCUAAUUGUUUCGGCUAAGACAAAAAAUGAUUUGAAAAUUUUCAAAAUGUAUUUCUAACCAUUUACAUCAUUUGGUAUGGUCUAGAAAUAUUAAAUGAUAAAGUCAUCAAUGCAGUUGUACCUAGUGUUGGUUGUGAUCGAAAGAUUGUCAGCCAAUUUUGGUAUGAUAUAGUAUGACAAAGUCACAUAAUGGCGGAAUCCUCAACAUACUACUAAUGUAGUACGGUAUCAUGACGUCAUAAAAUAAUUUUUGGUUUUCUUUUAAAUUAUGAAGAAGGUCAAAUUAAGUUGGCUAAAUUAUUUCGAUUGAUGUCCGAGUUAUUGAUACUAGUCUAAGAUAUUUGAUUCAGCUAGAUGGCUAUUGAAAAAUAUUUAUGUAAUUCAAGCGUUCUUGAGUAUUUAUGCCAAACCAGAUUGCUCUGGUGCAAAUUCAAAUGUGGAAAAGCUGAGGUGAACAACCCUAUAAGGGGACAUGUUUUUAGGGACAAUGGUUCCGAGCGUAACGCAUGUAAUCGUUACAAAACACUACGUUGCGGCCCAAUGUAGUGGUACAAUAGGCUGGCGACCUAGUGUACACGUGGAGGGUGUUUUCAGUCUUUGUUAUUGAUAAACACUCUGGUUUGCAGUGUGAAGAAUUUUGUUGAUGCAUUAGUAAACCUAGAGAAGAGUUCACGAUCUUGUGACCCCUCAUCAUAAUUUGGAAUCUGAGUUAUUCAUACUACUUCCCGAUUAUUGAAAAAUCAUGGAAGAUUCUUAUUCUUCUGAAGGAUGAAUGUAGUGAGUAGAAUGUUCCUUAGAAAGGAGAAUGUGGUAGAAUGCAAGUGAGCAAGUUAUAAUGAAACUUCCAAAAAGAGAAUGGAUAAAAUUAUUCAAAAGAAUAUGUAAUAUUCAGAAUAGCACCGAGUAGAGGAGGUUUUGGUGAUUCCGAGGACGGAAUCCUUAUAAGGGGGAGAGGAUGUAAGAACCUGAAUUUUUAGAAAAAUAUUAAAAUAAGAAUUUAGUAGAUAAAAUUCUUAAGGCAUGUGAAGGGUUCAAAUAAAAAUAUAUAAUAUGUUACGAGGUAUGUGGUAUUGUGUUACAUAGGGUAUUAUGCGCUAUGUAAUAAGUGAGGUUGUGUUUAAUAAAUAUAUAUAUCGUUAUUAUAUAUUUGUUAUAAAUUAUGGAGAUGAAUUAAUAUGAAGAUGGAUAAAGUUUUAUCUAUUGAUAUUAAAUUAUUUAUGUGAAAAUUAUUUUAUAAUAGUAAGUUGGUGACAUUAAAAUAUCUUUGAUAAUCAAAAAUUCUUGAGUAUUUGUACGAGUACGUAUCAAGUCUAAGGUAGUGCAAUCGUACUCUUUAAUGGUGGAUGUAUAGGAGCUGGGCUAAACGAUUCCUUCAGAGAGCGGAGGUAUAUACGAAUUAGUAACCGAUCUAACUCACUGUGAAAACAAUGUCGAUGAGACGGAAACCACUCAGUGUACUAUAUUGAAUACUAUUAAAGACUCGAUGGGUGUUAGGUUUAGACUUGUAUGUGUGUACGUUGAUGACGAGAGAAGAAAAUCAAUAUACCUUUAAAGUGGUUAGAGAAUUAUUGAGUAAAUUGAUAUACAGCGAGAAGUGAUUAUUAAAGGAAUGUAUGUAUGUGUUGUAUUCGAUAUUUGUGUUAUUGGUGGUAAGAAACCAUAAAGAAAAUGUAUAGUUGGUUAAACUAAUAAGGGAAAUAGAGUUUUAAAACUUGAAGUGUGAUCCUUAAAUUGUUAAAAAAAAUAGUAAUCCAUGAGGUGGAAUGAAAAAAGGGAUUGAUGUUAGACAAGUUAAUAUUUAAGGAGGAUGUAAUACCCGAAAAUUUUCACAUCUUAUUAAAUGAAUAUAUUAGUGGAAUAAAUAUUUAUUGAAUAUAAAUGUUAAUGUUUUGUAAGUUGAGUAAUUAAAUUGAUUCGCAUUGGAUUAAUAUGAAUUAAGAAGUUUGGAAAUGUGAUGAGAAUUACGAAAUGCCUUGUGUAGAAUAAUGUGAAAUGAGGAAUUUCACUAAGCGAAUUAAAAAGGGAAUUAGGAAGAUUAAUCGUGUCUGAUUAUGUGAUUUCAUGUAGUUAAUGAGUACACUCUUAGAUUGGUGAUAUCACUCUUGAGGACAUUAAUUCAUGUCGUAUAAAAUGAGUUUGGCGAUGAAGGUCGACACUGGCUUGAAGCUAAACCAGUCUUGGCACUGUCAGGGUACGGCGCAGCUGCACCGUCCCAGCAAUACAAACUGACACAGCUGCGCCAAUGAUCAGUUGAAGUUAGUUACUUGCUUUUGUAGCACUGAAUUGGGACAUUAAUGUUAUAUGUGUGACAUAAAUAAAACCAUAUGAUAGGAGUAUAUUGAAAUGAAAUGAGGUACCUAGUAGCACCAUGGUAUCAUAUGAAGUUGUAAUGCAUAAAUGAUUAAUUAUCUGGGUAUUCUAGAAUCUAAGAAAGGAAUUCAAUGUUUUAAAUAAACAUUAAUAUUAAAUAAAGUUAUAAUGUGAUUAUGUGAGUGGUAGAGAUAAUUAUGGGAUUACUCGGACAAUAAUGCCUAACUGCGUUGUUUUAUUGCAUGUAUUUUAUGUACAUGGAUUAUAUGAUGUGAGUAUAAAACUUAUCUUUAAAUUCCUAAUAUGGUAACAAUUGUACCUUAAUAUUACAUUAUGGGGAUUAAAAGAACCAAACCAAGCCUUACAUGCCCAAAUGCUGAGAUAUUUGCUCUUGUCCCAAAUUAAGUGUCACAAAGGACAUGAAUAGUGACUUGAAGCUAAAACACGUAUUUUCCAAAAAGGUUAUUGAAUAGGUGAUCAUUUUCUAAGAAGAUGGUUGGUAAGGGUGGUUGAUCAACUCUUAAUUAACCAAUGUAUUGUUCAAUUACACCAUAAUCCAACCUUGGUGUAAUACCAAUGUCUAGUCCAAGCUUCUUCUAUAAAUAUAAGCUUAAAUUUAGUUUUUGGUGUUGAUAGAAGUUGCUUGAUAGUCGAAUUGGAGGGUUAUAAGUUGCUGAGCUACUAUAGAAGUAUACUCAGAGUGUAGGAAGUUCAAUUCAAGCUCAAAAAGGUAUAAAUUCUAAUUGUGUUCUUAAAUUGGGUCUUGUUUAAUUCAUAAAAUUUUUUGAAUUCAUAUGUCAAUUGAUAUGAAUUAACAUGUUAUAAUGUGUUUAAGAAAUUCACUUACAUGUGUGAACUCUUUUAUGAUAGUUGGAACAAGUUUAAACUCGUUAGAAAUCAAGUUAGCUAAGACUCUGUAAAACAAAGUCUGCUUCUGCUCCUGAACCAGACAUGGCGCAGCUACGCCCUAAUUGAACCAGGGUGCAGCGCAACUACGCCAUCCUCUGAGUUAAGUUAAGCCUUCUGUUUUAAAAAUCUGAUAAGUGUGAUCAAUUAUUAUGGCUUAAGCCAACAUGCAAGCAUGUGUAACAUGUAUAUAUAAGUAUAAUAAUCUAUUGUGAGCAUGUUUUACUAAGAUUAGCAUGAUUUGGUAGAAGAUCUUUAACAAGGACUCUAUGUUUCGAAAACAAACUUUGUUAAAGUUCAUGUUCUGCAAAUUUGAGCUUAGCGGUCUAUACACAUGACUGAUUUUACACAUAAAUAAGCAUGCUUAGUGUACAUAGUUCCUUUGUUUAUAAUCAAACUCAUUAGACCUUGUGUGAAAGAAGUUUUUAAGAAAACUUGGUAUAAAAGAACUAAGGUGCAUAAAGACUACUUGCUAUACAUUCUGAUCUUGCGAGCAUGUUAACAUGACUUGACUACAUAUGAAUAGAGCCUUAAAGUUGCCUUAUAUGUGUUUAAUGAAAUUGUUCAAGUUUAAAAUGGUUUCAAAAGCAAACUUGAACAUAUUUUCAAAAUCAAGUUGCAUCAUAUGGAAGUGCAAAGCAGGAAGUGCAAAAUCUAGUUGCAUCACAUGUCAAAAUCUAGUUUGGACAGAAAUAGGAAGUGCAAAGCUCAAUGCUUUUCUGGCCAUGGGACAGCGUAGCUGCGCCAUCCCUAAUCCUAGACAUGGCGCAGCUGCGCCAUUCUGCAGUCUAGAAUAGGUUCUGGUUUUGAUCUGAUGUUUGAAGCAUGCUUGUAUAAUUACUAUAUAUAAUCAGUAUGGUAUGUAAUGUGUUAAGAAGUAUUCUAUGUGAUAAAGAUGAAUGUUAAUCAUGACUUUCGAAUGUUAAGUCCAAAGGAAUAUUUACAUGAGAUAAAGCAAUGAUACGUUGUUUGAAUGAGUGAUGUGACAAUCUAAUUUGUGUUAUAUAGGUGAUGAUGUAUAAAGUUACAACUAAGUUAGACGUUUGUGUGUACGGUUGAACUUACCUAAAUGAGUUUUAAAUGUGUUGAACACAUAGCGAGUCAAGUGCGUGAUAAAUAUAUAUGAAUGUUGAUGUCAUGUAUAAGUGGUUAAGGUAUACCUAUACGUACCUAGCUAUUCUGAGAAUAUGAUGAGAAAGUGGAAUGUAGGUUUUACGAACCUAGUUAGGAAACUAUGUAACAUUAUUAUUACAUUGAGAAUGCAUGAAAUAUGUUACUGAUGGAUAUGAAUCCAUGAUUAUAUAACUAUGUAGGAAUACACGAAGUACAGAUAAGCUUUAAACAGUUAAGUCGUAGUUGAUAAACUACGAAUCAGGCAAGUCUUUCGGUUCCUAUUUGUUAUAUGAAUUCAAUAACUGUUAGUUGAGCUAUAUUAUGCCAUGAGAAUGUUGAUGUAUAUAUAUAUAUAUGAAAUGCGUAUGAGAUAUGUAUGAAAUGUGAAAGUUGAUCUUUGAUGAUAUGCUUAUGAUAUAAACUUAUAUGUCUGUUAUAUGAGAUGUAACAUGCGUAGUAAAUAUUGAUUGAUUAUGGAUGCAUAAACUGUGUAUGUUAUUAUAUGCUACGUGCUGCAUGAAAACUGUUAGAAUUGCUGGGCUGUUGAGCUCACCCUUGCAAUUUGUAACACCCCAGUCCCUCAUCGAAAGAUAGGGGAAAAAUUUGUCUGCAUAUAAGGAAAUAAGUUACUACCAAUAGUACCUUCAAGUCAUGACCUUUUGGGUGAGCCUGUGGUGGGCUAAGCUGACCCAAGAAGAUACUAUUGGGCCAGUAGUUUGAGGCCUUAUUUUGAUAGAUUUGAUUCGAUUUGGACUUGGGAUUUGACCCGAGAUUUGUUCUGGACUCGGGAUUUGACCUGGGUUGUUACAUAUGGUAUCAGAGCCGACUCUUGAAAGCUCGGGUCGGGUCAUCCAAUCGGGUUUCCGGAGGUGGGGACACGAAGGCUGGUGGUAUUAUCCCACAAUGGAGAGAUGAAGGUCCGUAGGUGGGGACACGAAGCCAGCCGGUAUUAUCCCACAAUGGCUAAAGAGGCAAAGAUCUUUGGACUGUGUGUGUGUGAUCGGUUCUGACGGGGAUGUCAGAAAUUUAAGUGGGGGAGUUUGUAACACCCCAGUCCCACAUCGAAAGAUAGGGGAAAAUUUUUUCUACAUAUAAGGAAUUAAGUUACUACCAAUAGUACCUUCAAGUCAUGACCUUUUGGGUGAGCCUGUGGUGGGCUAAGUUGACCCAAGAAAAUAGUAUUGGGCCAAUAGUUUGAGGCCUUAUUUUGAUGGAUUUGAUUCAAUUCGGACUUGGGAUUUAACCCGAGAUUUGUUCCGGACUCGGGAUUUGACCUGGGUUGUUACACAAAUAACCACUUUUGCAGGUUAAGGACUCACGGUAAAGAUUGUGUGCUACUUAAUUGAUAAAGUUCAAUAGCAUCGAAGGAUAUUGAUUUACUUAUUUAAAUAUAUGUUCUUGAACCAUGUCUAAGUUCUAUGAGUGGUACAUGAUAGUAGUUUACGAUGUGUAAUACAUGUUAAGUUGUACUAUGAUAUACAUAGAGAAUUUUGAAUCGAGAUGUAAAGAUUUAUACUUUAAUUUGAAUAGAGGGAAUCAUACCAUAAUUUGAUUCAAUGAUUUGUAAUUGAUUCAAGUUAAGAAAUCAAUAAAAGAUUAUUUUUCAAAGGAGAUUGAAAAGUUUAAAUUAUUCUUCAUAUUUUUAUAACAUCGAAUAUGAUGUAAGGAAGGAAUGGUAAAUGACCAAGAUUUGAAACUUAUAAAAGUUUGUGGUCAUUACAUAGAUCUUGGAAAUGGAAAGAAUUUAUAUUCUAAAUUGUAAUAAGUAAAGUCAUAUUCAAUAAGUUAUGAAUAAAAGAUAUAAAUAGUUUGACGAUAGUAGUAUCGUAGCAGACAGAAUCUGAGGUUCAAAGGGACCUGGAUUUGGGGGCGUCACAGAUACUAUGACAAUCUCAAGUCCAAGGAUCACUUGUACUACUAUCACUACAGGAAUUCCUAUUGACAGGCAAGUAAAACUCCAUUAGGCAUUCCUUAGAGAGCCACGUUCAGUGAACUUAUUCUCUAAUAAGAACCUACAUACUUGCUUUAGUGUCUCCACACAAAUGAUCAUGAGAUCAAUCAUCCUCAUCCAAUGAGAAAGCAACGUAUGUACCAAUCUAUCCAGAUUCACUAAUCCUUAAUUUAGUAAUCUAACGAUUGGGAACUAUUUUAGUUUUAAGCUUUUUAAGAAUUUAGAUCUCAUUAGAAUGAUCAUCAUCAUUAUUCUAAAAGCAUUGCUUAAAACUAUAGGUUUAUCAUAUAUUAUAAAGCAGCAUCAUCUAGGUAAUUAAAAGCCUUUAAUAAAUUAAUACUUUUUAUUAAUAAAUGAAUAAGAUUAUUACAAAGUAUAUGCUUUAUCAUCAAACAUGAUUGGCUUGUGUGCAUACUACUUUCACUAAUAAACAUCAAUAUUAAGUAAUCAAGAUUAGUUAGGAUUAGGGCAAAAUUAAGCUACUAAUCUAACCUAAAUAGCUCACAAGUAGGAGGCAAGUCAUGAUAACAAGUUUCAAGGCUGUACAUGAGCUAGUAUCACCCCCUAAGCAGCACAAGUUAACAAACAUCAGAUAUUUAGAGAGACAGGUAGGUGAAAAAGACCAAAAAACCUAAGUUGCUUAAGUCUAUAAAUAGAAACAUAACUCCAGGCCAAACCCACAAAUUCUCUAAGCCUAGACACUCUUACAAACAUACCAAAUCAAGCCUGGGUGAUAGCAACAUCAGAUUCAGUAGCCAGAAAUCAAAAUCAAGCAAAAAAGGUGUAAACCCUAAUUUAUAGCUAGAUCUUUGAUGUUAUGUUCAAAUUAUUGUUUAGAUGUUUAGAUUUAUGUAAUAUCAUGUUAGAAAGUAUGCUAAGUUCAUAAAACAUGUUUUCAUAACAUCUAGAUGCCUCAAAUUAGUGUUUUACGCAAUCUAGAAAUUUUAGAAAAAAUAGGUCUGACAGUCGAAUGUCAGAGCCUGUAGAUCCAUGUGUGUUAAUAGUUAGGUCUGUUAAUUGUGUGGUAUUUGUUGUAUGACAUGAGGUCUUUAAUCUGGACAAGAAAACAGGUUCAUUAGAACCAUAUAUUGCAAGAUAUAGGUGGUCAAAAGUGGUUGACCGAUCAUGAAGUUUUGUUUUAUUGGUUACCCAGAAAACUCAAGAACAGGUUGAACCGACUACUUUGACCAACCUUUUAAUCGCUUUCUAUUUGUUGUUAUAAUGACUUUUUGUAAUGAAUUAAUACCUUUACAUACAUAUUACAUAUCUAUGACAUUCAAUUGCUUAAACAAUUCAUAGGAUUACCAAAAUUAAUGGUCAAAAUUCGUUGACUGAGCAUGACCAAGUUUUCUGGGUUACCCAGAAAAUUGAUGAACACGAAGAACAGCCUUUGGCUGUACUUUGACCAACAUAGAUUGAGACCUUAGAGUCAUACUUUGUCCAAAUUAGUGUUACAUAUAUGAAUCUUGACAUAUAGACUACAUAUUACAACAAACAAAACACAAAUCAAUUACACGGAUUGAAAGAUAUAUAAGCUACAAAACCGUUGAUCGACAAUGACCACUAUUCUGGGUUAUCCAGAAACUCAAGAACGGCUCUGAAAGUAACUUUGAGCCUCUAUAACUUCUUGUUAUAUGUAGAUUAAAACAUGUAUUUGGCCUGAUGUUGUACUAUUGUAUGAGUACUAUAACAUCCAUACUUGUUCAAACCCAGAAUAAAUAACAGUAGCAAAUUAGAUCAAGGUCAAAGUGGUCUCUAGACCAUGACCGACUGAAACCCAGAAACUCAAGAACACCUAUAGCGACACUUCAUGUCACUAUAGAGCUUUAGUGACGGACAAAAAAUGUUUUCUAAUAAAUUAAUUAAUAAAAAAUUGAAAUAAUUAAUAAAUAAAUAUAAAAAUAGCUUUAAAAAUUAUUUUAAGUUAUUAUAAUUAACUUUUAAUAUUUUUACAUAAAUUUAAUAAAUAUUUUAUUUUAUUUGGAUAUUAUUAAUAAUUAAGUUAAUAAUAAAGUAAUUAGAAUAAUUACUUAUAAAUAAUAAAUAAUUAUUAAAAAUGAUAUUAAUGAUAUAAAAUUAUAAUAAAUGGUUAUAAAUUAUUUAAAAAUAGUAAACAAGGUAUUUAUAAUAUUCUAAGAAAAUAUUAAUUAUUUAGAAAUAGAAAUAAAUGAUUUAAAAAUUAUUUAAGGGAUAAAUAAAUACUUAAAAAUUAUUAUAAGCUUCUAGAAAUUAUUAUAAUGGAUAUUUAAAUUAUCUAAAAAUAUAAUAAAUCUUAUAAAUAAAAUUUAGUCGAUUUAUCAACUUAUUUAAUACUCGGUAAAGUAUUUGGACACCGAAACUGUAUUAAACUUAAUCCGAACAUUUGUAGAUUUUGUAUUUGACUAUUGUUAUCAAUACUAAUGUGUUAGAUUUAUAUGAAUGAAUAUCUUAGGUGUUUAUUAACCAAUCGAGUAACAUUGCUUAACUGAUCUUCGUUCAGGCAAGUUUACUAAACCCAAAUUAUUAAUUACUUACGCAAAUUUUCCAAACCCUAUUUAUUUGUUAAACAAGAUUUUAUCUUGAAUUGCUAUUAAUAUGUUACACCAAACCUUCUCUUGAAUUGCCAAUUAUUGAAAAGUUAUUGCUAUUGCUUCAGCAUAACUAAGAAAUGAAUUGUUUAUUCAUAUGAUAUUGUUUAUUGAGCAUAAACUGUUAUGUCAAACCAAAUUAUUUUGGUAAGACAUCCUAUAUUCAAGUUGUGUAUCCCGUAAAGGGAUCGAUGUUUGGUCAAUAGUAUAUUGACAUUGGGUGCAUAUGAGCACUAUUAGGAUGAGAUGCAUACUCCUAGGAUAUUGAAUAGGCUGAUCACCUACCUCAUAUCUAAAAAAAGUUUUUAAGUAUGUGUGACUGACAGAAAUAAGAAGUCUAGAAAUGGUUGAAAAAGAAAUUCCAGAAAUGGUAGCAACUAUCAAUUAAAUUUUGAGUUGUUAUACUUCUUCAAAUCAUAUAUUGUUAUAAAUAUAGAAUCUGCUGAACAUGUCAUAGCUCACCCUUGCAAAUUAUUCCCUUUGCAGUAUUAGAUGGUAACCUUGGCACUUCUAGAGUUAAUAAAGGGAAGCAUCCCUAUUUAGAUUAGUUUAUACUACUAUCUAGUUUAAUGUAAUACUUUGUAAAAAGAAAUUCUUUAUGAAUAAUCAUAUAAUCGAACCUUAAUUAUAUAUAACAUCUGUAUUUCCGCAGCCGUAUUUUCUUACAUAUAUAGAUGUAAUUAGAAUUUUCAAUAUAGUUUGAGAUCCUUGGGAAUUAUUUAUCUAAGUGAGGGUAUUGACAUCAUGGACUGUUCAUGUUUUUGUUGAUACUCUGGAUUUCGGAUAGAUGGGUACUAUCGAUACGAUAAUGUAAUUCGCAUGACAUAGACUAUACAUCUGAGUGAGGGUAUUGGUAAUAUGGAUUGUUUAUGUUAUUACUGAUACUCUGAAUUUUGGAUAGAUAGAUACUAUUCACAGAUAAAAUUCAUAUAUCUAAGUGAGGGUAUCCAAACACAACAAUAGUUCUCUUAAGAAUUUUUAUCUAUUAUGGGAUACUGUGAAUCUUGGAUCUAUAAGAAUUAUAUCUGGUUAUAAAUUGUAUAGUCACUCAAUUAGAUAUAAGCAUAAAAUCAGAUACCAUGGGCAUAUAGAUUUAAAUGCAUUAUAUACAUUGAAUUGUAGUAAGCACCAUAUCGGAUACCGUGGGAGUAUAGAUAUGGGGGCGUUACACCAAUGAUCACAACUAUUGCAAUCUAACCUCGACAAUGCCUCACAAGGGUCCGAUGCCGUUAGUUCAGGGUAGAAACUCCAGAACACCUAUCCCCAGUAGGGAUUUCAUACAACUUCAGCCGUUGGCAUGUAAAUCUAGUGAAACAUUGAUGAUGAUCCGAUGAUUUCAUCAGUUGAAGGAAAUUUCAACGAAGGUCAAGCAACCUUAACGUUAUUCCAGCCGUUGUCAAGUAAAUCCAGCGAAGCAUCGGUGAUGAUCCGAUGAUUUCAGUCAUUGGCACGUAAAUCUAGCGAAGCAUCGGUGAUGAUCCGAUGAUUUCAUCCGUUGAAGUACAUUUCAGUGAAGGUCAAACAACCUUAACAUUAUUCCAGCCGUUGGCAUGUAAAUCCAGUGAAGCAUCGAAAACCUUUCGAUGAUUUCAUCCAUUGAAGGAUAUUUUAAUGAAGGUCAAGUAACCUUGAUGUUAUUUCAGCCAUUGGCAAGUAAAUCCAACGAAGCAUUCGAUGAUGUCGGGUGAUCUUAGUCGUUGGCACAUAAAUCCAAUGACGCAUCAGAAACCAUCCGAUGAUUUCAUCCAUUGAAUUACAUUUCAACGAAGUUCAAGCAACCUUGACAAUAUUCAGCCGUUGGCACAUAAAUCCAACAAAGCAUCGAAAACCAUACAAUGAUUUCAUCCGUUGAAGUACAUUUCAGCGAAGGUCUAGCAACCUUAACAUUAUUCCGGCCGUUGGCACGUAAAUCCAGCGAAGCAUCGGAAACCAUUCGAUGAUUUCAUCUAUUGAAGUAUAUUUCAAUGAAGGUCAAGCAACCUUGACAUUAUUUCAGCCAUUGGCAAGUAAAUCCAGUGAUGCAUCGGAGGAUAUUUGAUGAUCUCAGCCGUUGGCACGUAAAUCUAGCGAAGCAUCGGUGAUGAUCCGAUGAUUUUAGCUGUUGAAGCACAUUUCAACGAAGGUUAAGCAACCUUGACGUUAUUCUAGUCGUUGGCAAGUAAAUCCAGUGAAGAAUCAGAAGCCAUCCGAUGAUCUCAGUCGUUGAUGUACAUUUCAAUGAUGGUCAGGUAAUCCUGACAUCUUAAACUGUUGGAAGUAACUCUGACAGAGCCAUGGAAGGACCUGGCGAAACAAACCAGGAAAGACUAUUCUCAUCGGGGAGGACUGAUGAUGGAAUCUUUUAUACAAAUCUUCAUCAGACAGAGUACAAUCCCCCAGAGUCUCUCGUACAUGAGAGGUGCAUCCUCAGUGGGAAGUUUGUACCAAGGAUUAAGGACUUUGGUGAUAACCCCAAUGUCAACAUCCUGGAAGUUCCUGAGAAUUUUGGGGUAAACAUCCAAUAAAUUUAUUAGGGUUAUCAGUGAAAGCUCCAGUCCCCGUUAGAAGGCAUGGGAACAGAUAGUCAUCACAUCCCGUUAGAAGACGGUCCAAUAAACAACAUUCAUCAUACACUUGCAUCAUGCUGCAUUAUAUUGCAUCAUGAUUUUCUUGUCAUAUUUUAAGUGUCUAGUAUUCUUUAUCCUAUCCAUGCCAUUACAUUGCAUGAAUAUGAUAAAGAGGGGCGUAUGUAGACACUCAAAAUUUAUGCAUUCCUAUUAUUAACCUUGUAGGAGGGCAGAAUCAUCUUCUAGUGAUAACCCUGGAGGUUAAUUCAGCUCAAUCCCAGAUAUAACCCCGGGAUACUCAGUUUUUCCAUCUCAGAGACAACCCCGAGAUACUAAGUUCCAGUUCCGGAGACAACCCUGGGAGAUUCAGUUCCAACCUCGGAGAUAACCCCGAGGGAUGCAGUUCUAGUUCUGGAGACAACACUACAAGAAAUCUCACAAAAAAUUAUGCUAAAAUUUAUCAAAUAAAAUUCAUUUUUCGUCACUAAAACAUUUGGUGACGAUUGUUAAUCGUCAUAGAGACCAUCACCGUAUAAGCGUGGUAUUAGGUUUAUUUGACAAUAUUUGAUGUCGUCACUAAAUGUUUUAACUUAUGGUGACGAUUUACAUCAUUGUCACUAUAAUUAAUUACUUUUAGUGACGUUAAUAGCGUCACUAUUUGAAUGAAACUUUCGUCACUCUAUAUUAUGUUUCGUCAUCAAAACUUAGUGCAUUAAAUGACGAAAAUCUUUUUUCGUCAUUAAAUGAUAUUUUUUUAGUGACAAAAAUAUGUUGCUCUAUUUAAAUCAUCUAAUUUUAAUGAUGACAAUUUUGCCAUAUUUAUGAUUAUUCUUUCAUCAUGUUAUUAUGUUUAUUGUCACCAAAAAUAAGAAAAUAAAUGACGGCAAAACAAUUCAUCACCUAAUAAUAUAUUUAACAUGACAAUUAUGUCGUCGUAAUUUCAUAUUUUAAAUAAUAUUACAAAAUAAUUUGUAACCAAAGAGUUACUUUUUUAGACACAUUUUUCAAUGUCACUAAUGGAAUACUUAUGGUGACGAUACAUCUCAUCAUAGAAAGAGUUAUUAAUAGUGACAAAAUUAUUUGUUAUGACUAAAUAAAAAACUAAAUAUAAAAUUAUAGAUCUAGAAAUAAGAAAAAAAGAUUACACCAAGAUGAUGACCAAUAAAUUUCAACCCUUUAAUUAAAAUAAUUGUGUUAUUACAACAACACUAGCAGAACUGAGCAACAAACUCAACCUUACCAACAGAAGAAUGCAAUUAAUUAAUACUCAAAUACAUGAACAUGUGCAUGAACUAUUUUGACAAUCAAGUGCAAAGUAAUGAGUCAAUGACCACUAUGUGCAUGGACUAUUUUCAUAUGAUGGAAGCCAAAGUAAUAUUUCAAGAAUUACUCAAUGCUGACAUUUGUAUCAUCGACCACGUCCUUUACGUCUCCAAACUGGGAAGCAAGUAGUCCAUACAGGGUCCAAUGAAACUGGACAUGCCCAGUAAUAUCAUCUCCACCACAUUGGCAUCCUCUGUUGUUAACAAAUUUCAAAAAAUGAUGAAACAUAAAAAUGUCAGUUUGCUUCUAAUGAUUUAUAUUUGUGUAUAAAAUAGAUAAUUCAUAGAGAGAGUCAAGCUAUAUAUAUAUAUACACAUAAUUAGCUGAAUUAUAUAUAUAUAUAUAUAUAUAUAUAUAUAUAUAUAUAUAUAUAUAUAUANNNNNNNNNNNNNNNNNNNNNNNNNNNNNNNNNNNNNNNNNNNNNNNNNNNNNNNNNNNNNNNNNNNNNNNNNNNNNNNNNNNNNNNNNNNNNNNNNNNNAAAAUGAAAAUGUAUUACUCAACCUCAGGCCUAAAGCUUACCCCCCCAACAAACCAAAACCCCCAAUUUUUCAAUAAUAAUAAUAAUAGUAAUAAAUUAAAAAAAUGAAUCUUUGUGGUGGUUGUCACACCUGUAGUUCUGCAAUCCUUUUUAGUUGAGCUUCUUCACCUCCUUCAGACAAAGGAAGUACCCUAACCAAAGCAUCAAACUGUAAAGGUACAUAUGAGAACUAAUUAAGUUGAUAGGUAAAUAUAGUAUGCAAUAGAUAAAAAGGAGAACUAGCUCAACCAAAAUCCACAUUUACAUAGAUUUAAUGGUGGUGUUAUGGAUAGGUGGUCAGCUAACCUGUAUAGUGCCUACAAACAUAAUCUUUCCAUACCUAUUCUCAAAUAAGUUGAUCCCUAAUGGCCUAAACAGACACAACAUGUUCACUCAAAAGCAUUUAGUCUUUGAUAUAAACAAUCAAAACUAGAUUUGUUUCUCUUUUGGGAGAAAGAAACAAAAACGAUACUAGCCAAACAACUACAUAUAAAAAGGGUCAAACUGAGAAGAUCAAAGAAUAUGUACCACCUAAAGUCUGGGUAAGCUAUAGAAUAAAUUAUACUGCUCAAGAUUAGCUUGAGAUCAAUUUAUAUGAAAUUGUUUUGGCUUCAUUUACCAACCUGAUAGAGCUGAGCACAAUCUCCUUUUAGCCAUUUAGGCUCAGAAAAAGUAAAUUCCAGCUUAAGUAAACAAGUGCUAAGCCUGUUAAAGCAAGUAAAAGCUGUGUAAAUAUAGACAUGGAUCUUCUGUAAAUUAAAAUAAACGUGAAGUGGCCUUGCUAAGGGCCAAAAAACUUGAAUUUAUUACUAACUCUUUUUAACAGGAGCUACCACCUACCAAAAGAGUUAACAAGUUGAUGUAAUUUAUGAAAGAAGCUGUUGUAAUUAUUUGAGCUAGUGAAUGUCUUACACAGCAUUAAGAGAAGUCAUGAAACUAACAAGGAUUGAAAUUAUAUUAUACCUCUACAAAAAGAUCAGCCAUUCGUACACAUGAUUAUUGGCCCCUUCUAAUUUUAUGACUAAUUAGAUCUCACAAAAAGAUCAGCAAUUUAUACCAAGUUGAUCUUGUUUCCCUCGUAAAACCCUUUCAUGAAAUACAUGUCCACGUAACAUAGUCUUGAUACUUAGAUCUUUAUUUCUCAGUUGAAACCUGACCUGUGUAAUGAGGACCAAUCAAAAAGCAGGUCAACAUAACAUAUGAUUUAUUGGGGGCUCUAUAAAGAAAAGCACUGGACCAAUUCAAAUGUUGCUCAUACUCCCUAUUCUUUUUUGUAGGCGUAUUUUAAGAGAAAAGGGACUUAAAAAUCUAGAAAUCCAAGACCACAGUUGAACCAAAUAGAUGAAAGUGAAUGAAACUACAUGAAAAUUAGUGCAAGCCUCUAGGGGAAUCCCUCCACAUUCGAUCCAAUUAAUCACAAAUAUUUCAAAAAGUUUCACUUCUAUAAGUUGGUAGAUCUCAGACAAAGAGUAAGGCUUAUUUACAGGCUUGUUGUACUAAAGUUAAUCAUUCCAGUUCAUUACAAUAUCAAUAUGGUAGACUGGUAGUUAUAUGUCAUUAACAACACCAUAUAAUUUUUAUAUUAACAACCUCCUAUAAUUUUUAUUACUUAUUUAGAAAAAAAAAAUGAUUCUCAAUAAUUACUAUAAAGCCAGAACUAAGCUAACUCUAAAACUUUCAAGAUCAGAUACAUAAUGUUCAUCCCAUUAAUAUCCCCUACCACAGAAUUACCAAAAAUCAUCACAUUAUUAGCUGUAGACGGAAAAAUACGAACAACCCUGAAUUAAAAAGAAUGAUAUCUUAACUGGGUAUAUUCCUAAUUCAAGUAUCAUGUCACAUACUUCACAAAUUCUACAGAUAGACAAUUACAGAGAAUAACCUUUAACUGGGUAAACUCUAAAAUUCAAUCGACGGUGUAAAAGAAAGAAAAUUGUUUACCUGCUUAGCCGCCUUGAUGAGAUCAGAGCUCAUGACCUUGGGUUGAUCGGAAAAAAUGGAGAUACUUGGCAUUUCUUUUCUAAUCUAGUGUUCCUUACAAAUAAUACAUCUUUCUCAAAUCACGAGAUGAUUCUUCCAUGGUUAACGACUAUGAUUCCACAAUUGAGGCCUUAUCCUUGUAAUCCGCAAAUCGAGACGUGCAAAUCUACUUCAGCAUUUCGGUACUUGUUCUUGCUUUCCUCUUUUGCCCUUAUGUCAAUCGGAGCUGCUGGAAUUAGGUCAUGUUCAAUUGCAUUUGGUGCUGAUUAAUUAGAUAAGAGGGAUAAUCCCAAGAAUAAUGAGAAGGUAUUAGAACAAUUCUUCGGAUGGUAUUAUGCUUCUACAGCACUUUCGGUUAUAAUUGCUUUGACACUUGUUGUCAAGAUAUAGAUCUACAAGGCACCUUGGAGAGGGCGGAGACAGUCACGAUUUGGGAUUAAGGGUUUUGGGUUAGGC
RNAcentral lists this long non-coding RNA (44244 nucleotides) under Panax ginseng (ginseng). RNAcentral describes it as "long non-coding RNA (PGIN_LNC007209)". The record is from RNAcentral. Lineage: Eukaryota; Viridiplantae; Streptophyta; Magnoliopsida; Apiales; Araliaceae.